UUCAUAAUAAAAAUGUUCUCCCUUUGAAUUUCUCUCACGCACAGGUCAUAUAUUAGAUCAUGAACCUUACAUGAUCUAAUUUUUGUUCCAUCUAGACUUUUCUUGCAGACGAGGACUAAACAUCUGUCGACAAGCUCUUGCAAACACUUCUCAGCCUCUCCUUCCAAAUCAUUUUCCAACUGAACCCCUCAGCCAUCCUUGAUCUCAUCAAUUUCUUCACUGCUAUACCACUGUCUUCUGGAAAAAUUCCGAAAUGCAGUAGACAAGUCUUUAGAUCGCUAGUCAAGUGAUUGUAACUCAACCCAAGCACACGUGAACAUCGUUCAUCAGGAUCAUUUGUGACAAGUGACUUGACAUCUUUCACAACAGUUCUCCAAUCUUCUAUUGCCCUUUUAGAUUUGAGAACUCCAGCAACCACGACAAUAGUUAGUGGUAACCCGUGACAUUCAUCUGCGAUUUGCUUCCCAACAGUCUCGAACUCAUAUGGUAAUGCUUCACUUGAGAAUGCGGCACUUUUAAAAAGGCUCCAACUCUCAUCUUGAUCCAUGAAAUCCAUUUGCAUAGAAAGAUUCUCUGUACCAGCAUAAUAGGCUACUUCAUUGUUACGGGUAGUCAACAAUAUUCUAUUCCCUGCAUUGUCUUCAUUUGGAAAGCAUUGCCUCACGCCAUCCCACACUUCACAACUCCAGAUAUCAUCCAAGACAAUAAAGUACCUCUUUCUCUUUAAACUUUUCUGUAGCAUGUCCGCUAGCUCUGCUUCACCUUUCGUCUUAACCGUGUCAUCCAUUUUGAUCGUCGAUUGCAGAAGGCUCAGCAAAAUUUGCUUUAUGUUGUGCUGUUGAGAUACAGUAGCCCAGGCACGAACAUCAAAAUGGCGUAGAAUUGAUUCAUGAUUGUAAACUUUGUUCGCUAAGGUUGUUUUACCUAUGCCUCCCAUCCCGUCAAUCGGGAUGACUUUGGGUUCACCAGAGUAGAUUCUCGUAAGAUCUUCUACCAACCGUUUCCUUUGAUCGUCAUGUCCAACCAUACUGUUCUCAACAUUUGUGUAUUCCUCUGAUGUUUUGUUGAACCAUUGAAAAAUAUUGAACCAUUGAAAAAUCAUGAAGCAUUGAAAAAUCUUGAACCAUUGAAAAUUCAUCACGUUCCCUUUAUCUUGAAUAUUUGUUGACUCUUUCCAGAUACGAUCGAUGUCCUCUGCUACUUGUUGCAGGCUAUCAGAAAGCAUCUCUUGUGCCUUUUCUCUCAGAUUUUCAUCAUUUGCCAAUACAGCUUCAGUCACUCCUAGUUGAAUUGUUUGUUCAACAAUAUUUGCAACUUCUUUUAUCUGCACUUCCAAAUCUGUCAGUUCCCCAGAAACAUUGCUUUUCUCAAAGUUCUUGACAAAUACUUCCAACGAACUAACUUUUUCAUGAAGAGUGAAAAAUUCUUCUCUGUGAUCAAAGGAUAGAGAUUGCAUCGGCGAAUUGGAUGUCAAGCGCGAUUCUACUGUUCUCGUAAGAGAAUCCACACUUGCAUGAGCCAUAUCUACUGUAUUCUCAUUUUUGUCCUGUGUGACUAUGACCUGAAAGCUGCAGGUUGCAAGAUGUCAAUGCUAUUAGAGAUACCGUGAUACACAGAUUGGCAAAAAACGCAAGCAUAAACUAAACAAGAUCAGGCGAUUUAAUAGUCUGUUUCAUGUUCAGGUCAGUUAUGUUAGUACAGAUGAUUUUGCACUUUGAUAGUUUAAUCUAUUAAUCUCUAACUCUUUGAAUUUGGUUAAAGAUUGGGGAAAUAAUUAAUAAAGGAAAUAACAUAUAAUUACCGGUUAAUAAUAGACACGCACAAAAAGUUCUGCAAAAAUCUCUUAACUAUUUCAUCCAACUCUCAGAUAGUCUCAAUCAAUCACAAAAGUAAAAUGGUUUUCUUGCACGAGGGUUUAUCAAAAAUAAUCACUCGUGUAAUUGCAAAGGUAGGGGUAAGGUUUGUAUAUAUCUCACCCUCCUGAUACCCCACUUGUGGGAUUUUCUAACUUUUCUAGAAAGUCAGAUGAUAAAAUUAAAGGACAUUUUAGUCUAAGACUACAAGAUUCAAAAAUCUUCUUUAAUUUCUUCAACUUCGUGUCAUGUCAAAUUCAGACAAACAAAUUCAAAUGGACCUUGGUUUUCCACCGUAUACUUGGAGGAAACAGAUAUUUCCUUUGCUUGACAAAGAAUGGCGUACUUUAGUUUUUUACUCUAUUUCAAAAAUGAGUUAUUAACAGUUAUUAACUCAGAAAAAUGAGUAAUUAAGGGAAACUAACCUUUCAAUGAUUAUUUGGGAAUACAGAAAGAGAGUUGGGAAGAAGGAACUGAUCACUGCAACAAAAUACUAUAAAGAACACAAAUAUGAGUAUAUAAAAACAAAAAGAUAUAGUAGCAAGUAAUCAAGAUUAAAAUCAAGAGAAAAAUGGCAUACCUCUCUGAGUGUCUAACGAAGUGUUUGCCUUCUGAUAAAUUGGGAUGAGAACUUCAAUUAUUGUUGCAUGUGGUGUAAGUGCUUUUAUAUAUUUAAAUGGAACAACACAUCAACUGUUUUUUAAGAUUAAAAGUUAUUAAAUGAUGAUUAUGCAGAUACAUACCUUUAUUAUAUUUUAAAAAUAAAGAACACUAUUUUUGUUGUCAUGUUCUUCUUCUGAAUUGCAUUUGAGCGAGGUUCCAUCGAAAACAACCUCUCUACCUCCAUGAGGCACUAGCAAAGGUCUGCAUAACACAUCCUAGAUGUCACUUAUGCAAUUAUGUAAAGAUAUAUUAAAAAAAAAGACCGUGGCCAAUUUGUUGUACCAAUCACCAAUUUUUUAAUACAUAUUAGCGGCCUGACACUUAUAUUUUGUGACCUAAUAAAUCAAUAAAAAAAUAAUAAGAUAAGGGUGGAGGAUCAAAAAAAAUCCCCAGCUUUAGGAGCACAAUGGAACAUGACUCAAUUAUCAAGACUACAUUUGAUUUGCAAAAAGUAUUGAGUUACCAUUCAGAAUAAGGUUUGGUUCUAUCCAUAGAGAUUCCAUAACUAGUCAAAACUGGCAAGUUCAAACAUAAUUGGGAUUACUAUUUCAUGACCUAUGUAACACCCUGCAUUUCGGGGCAUUAUAGAAACCAUGAUUUCGAUGCGUUGAUAAUCCCGAAGCCAUAACUCCUAUGCCAAUAUGGCAUGUUAAUUAUUUUCAUAGUAUGUGAAUACAUUCAUGCUUGAAUUUAGACCAUAGAGGUCCUUCAACUCAAGGAUGAGUUGAAACUAUUUCGAUCGAUUAAGUUUUAGUGGACAUUGUAAUUUGUGUCAGAUUCCAUUCACCAUAACUCUCUUCAUAUGUCUAAUUAGAGGGCCUACUAUUUGUCAAAUAAUAGGUCUUUGAGUUAGCUUUCCAACGAUACCAAUUUUGCUAAAAUCCAACACCCGAGCAAGAAGUUAUGGCCUUUCAAAGUAGUAGGCAGCGCCUAUGUAAACAUAGGCGAUAGCAUAGGCAGCGCCUAUGGAAAGAUUUCAGGUGACUUAAACACUCCGUUUUUCGGGCAAAAUGGUCUUUUUCCACCCUUACUUAGCCCUAAACACGAAAUUCAGUUCCCAAAGACCCUAAAAUACACCUUCAUUCAUCAAAAUUGUUUAAGAAUUCUGUCUAGGGUUUCAAAAUAAAAACCCAAGAAACUCAAGAUUCAACUGUGGGUUUUAGAAACUAAUUACAUAUUUGGAAUCCUAUCAACAUAGGCUUCAAGAAGCAUCUAAUAUUCGUAGUAAUCGAGGUAUGUGGGGUUAUCUCAAAAAUAUAAUGGGUUUUAAAAAUUCAUGUUUUCAAAUGGGAGUUUUGAAAUUACGAAUAUGAUUAUGUUUUUAAACAUUUUAUGAUAUUGAUUUGGCCCUUAGGCCUACUCCCAAAGUGAUUUGCUAUAUGAUAUAUGUAUAUGCAUGUAUUCUGAAAAGAUAUUAACUUGAGAGCAUGAAUGAUAUGAAAUUUCCUCUCUUGAUGUGAAUUUGUUUUAAAUGUUCAUAUGAUGUAAAUUAUUUGAAAACAUCUUGAAGAGCAUGACAUGAAAUGUUUUGAGAAUUGAUAUGAUUUUGACUUGAAAAUGAGAAGGUUAUUCAUGUUGAAUACAACGGUUGAAUGAGAAGAAUGGUGUGAUAUUGAUUUCUUGCAAUUCGGGUAUGACAAUACCCUACAGAGUAUGACAUAUGAUAGAUUUGAACAAAAUUUGAAUGCAUUGAUUUUACAUGAGAUAGGUGGAUGCCCGAAGAAUGCGUUUGAGUGUAAGGGCUCAUCGUUGAAAAUCGUGUUUGCCGACACGGGAAUUUGGUACAAGGCUAAGUGAUGUUGAGUACUUGACUUUAUGUCAUUCCCAAAUUGGGAUUAUAGGUAGGAGCCCAGGCUAAGUGAUCUUGGGCACCACCAUUGGGUCGAGACACCAUGCUUCAUAGUCUUAUGUGUCUCUCCCUCACUUAUACUCUAAUCUCGGUGGCAAUCGAGGAUUGAUAGUUGGUGUAAAUUAUGUAGGGUAUUCCACCUAGCUCAGUUGCAUUUCAUUGUUAUUGAAAACAAUUACACUAUGCCCAUGUGUUUUCAAAUGAUUUGAUAUGAAACUACUUUAUAAUGGCCCUCACCUAUAAUAUGUAAAAAUAUUAUACUUCUGUUUUGAUUUCUCUUCAUACCAGUACGUUUGUAUUGACCCCCUUCCCUCCCUGGUUCGGAGGCACAGUCUAGGGGUCCAGAUAACCAGUAAAUUUCUUCUGACAGAUCGCAGAAUCAAGUGGUAAGCCUUCUAUAUUUCGGAAGGCCUGAUGUCUGCUAUUUCAUUUAUCAUUUAUUAGUUUUGGGUCUGCUAGGGGCCUUGUCACAGUUUUCAACUAGACAUUGUUUUAGUCACGUAGUAGAGAUUUCCUAGACGGUUUUAGAGAUGUUGAUUUAGAUUGUGGGACACUAUUCCCUAUUUUCGUUUUCAUAUGAUUCUUGACCAUGUUUUCGUUAUAUUAUGUUUCUUCCACAUUUCUUUUGUCAUGAAUUAUGUGCAUGAUUAUCAGACAGAUAGGGGUGUUUUGAGCCUUUAUGGUUCGGAAUGCUCAUCGGCCAGGGCCCCGGUUCGGGUCGUGACAAACGUAGUAUCAAAGCACGGUUCAUGGUCCUAGGGUGUCUGCUAAAUCAUGUCGGGUAAAGUCUUGUCUAUGGGUGUGUAGCACGCCACACUUAUAAGCAGGAGGCUACUAGGCGUUUAGGAAUGUAUCUUUUUCUUCAUGUUCUAGUCCAUGCAAUAGAGUCAGAAUAUUCCUCUUUCAUACUCAAAUUAAUGCUAUGGUAUCGCCCAUAUGAAAGUAAAAGUCAUCCCAAUUCUUUCCUUACUCGGACAUUCUCAGACAUGUCUCAUCAUUGGUUCCAUUCAAGUAUAGCAGUUUAGAGUCUAAAUGGUAUGGUUUGUUCUGAUCGAAUCAUAUAAGAUUUUUGCAAGGACUUGAGUAGAGUCCGUUAGUGCUUCAGAGUGAGGACGAUUUACCUCUUUAUAGUGAUAAACUAAUUUGGUAGCUAGCAGCAUGUUUGGAUAGUAUGGUAGUCUAUGGAGGAAGUGUUUUACUCCGAUUCUAUUUCUACAUAGUAAGAUGUGUAUUCUUAGUUCAUUGAAUAUUGCGUAUUAAACUCUAUCUCAUGAAAUAUUGUCAUCAAAGUGUUGUUGAAACAUAAAGUCUAGUGAAGCCGUGAGGGGCUCUUUCGAUUCACUAGAAUAGUUGACUUGUCAUUCAUCCCAUUUUCUUGUUCAAAAUACAAAAUCAAAGUCUAGUGAAGCCGUGUGAGGCCUAUUUUGAUUCACUAGCAACUUUUUGUCCAACUUGUUGUUCUUGUGUAGGUUUAAUGUAUGUAUAGCUGAAUCUGGUUGUAUGAGAUUGAGCCGGUAAAGAGAUGAUUUGUCCUUGUGAGUUAGUUUAGUAUAAGGUAGAGAAGGAGUUGUUUGUCAGGGUGAUUUGUUAGUUGCUUGAAUGUGAAAAUGGCUAUAUUAGCGAGUAAUUUAUGAUUAUAGACUCAUGGUUGUUUGAGAAAUUUGAAGGCAGUCUAAAUGUAUGAUUGAGUGAGUAAGUAUGAGGGGAGAAAUUCAUAUAAGUAAAAAAAAAUUGUAUGGGGUUAUAAUAUAAGAUUAAGGUUGAUCAUGUCUAUUAUGUGACCUUACCCCAUGACCUUCUUUUGUUGGUAGUUGUAAACUAGUACUACUUAUGAGAAGGUAUAUAGCAGAUUUUGAAGUAUUUGGGAUUGAAUGCUCCAAUUUGAUGGAUUAGUAUAUUAUGUUGCACUCGUCAUUAGUGGUAGAUGAUUGAUGCUAGACCAUUGGCUUGAAUUUAAUGUAGGGUAUGGAUGUAAGAAUAGUGGCAUGAGAUUAAUGAUGUAUGUUUGUGGGAAUAAAUAUUAGUAGGCUUGAUGUGUUGAAAUAGUACGUUCUAAUGAGUUAUCAUAAGGAAGACCGUAAGGUCAAGGUCGAUUAUUGUUGUUAUGAAGUUUUAGUGUACUAGUGUUUCUUGAUGUUUAUUUCAUGGUUUCCAAAUGAGAAUCAUGCGUAAGGUUGGGUUGUAAAAUCAUGUUUAGCACUAGACAUUAAGUUUGAACAGUUGAAGUUCAUAAAGGUGGAUGUGAUGAUUUCUUGAUCAAUGAUGUUAGUUAUAUGAAAGUGAUCUAAUAGGCUUGAACGGUGUAUGCAAUUACUUAAGUUUAAAUAAAUUUGUAAUAAAGUAUAAUGUUGUAGGUAUGGUGUAGAAGUAUGCCAAGGUGAUAUGAGGUUGCGCCAUAUUUUUCUAAGACUAUUACAUAAUUUGUGUGGCUAGUAGUACCAUUGAAUUAUUAAGUGGAUAAAGACUAGUUAGAUGGUAUAUGGUGAUCUAAAUAGCCAUGUUAAGUGUUACAAUCUAAGUUUGAGUUUUGAAGGUUGAACCGAUAGAAAUAAGUGUGCAAGCAUUAUACUAUGACUAUUGGUGGCUAUGGAAAGAUUGAGUGUGUCCCAGAAGGUAGUCAUUCGGGUUAAGUUUAUGAUAUGCAUGUAUUGUCAUUUUUUUUCUUUCAGACCCUAAAGUGCAGUAAGUGUAGUUCAGUUAGAAUCUAGUAAGGGAUCUCACAAACUCUAGAUGAUGACUUGAAUCUAAGGGAGAGAUGAUAGAACGAAUGACCAAGUAAGUCUCUUAGAUUCUAGUAGUGAUAUAGUAUGAUUUAGAACGUCAGAAAGUGAGGGUGAAUCUCAACCCAUUCCUACCUCAGUAUUUUUUUUUAGUUAUUCGGAUACUUGCUCAUGCCUUACGAUCCAGUUCCCUGAUUGUAGUUCAUGAUUCCUGUAUAUGAUAGAGAGUCACGUACUCUUCCAGUUCCAAGAUAAUGAGUUAUAAUUCAUUCAAGUAGUCGGAAUCACAUUCCUUGUGUUAGGAACUCUAGUUGAGGUCAUGCAACUCAUGACGCAUGUACUCACUCUUUAUAGUGUGCUCAGUCCCGUAUAAAAAUCUUGUCAUGCUUCAGGGUCUUAUGUUUUAACUUCUUAGUGACCCUCCCUAUGCAAUGAUAGUGGUAAUGAUGUAAAUGUUCUUGUUGAUGGAAGAUCAUAGUACGUUUGUUUAGAUAAGGCCAUAAGUAUAAAAGUAAGAUUUGGGGCCAAUCUUUGAUACAUGUGAUGGUUAGUGGAAAAGUUUGUGUGUAUGUUUAGAAACUAUGUGAAGUAUGUAUUUAUGGGUGGUUUCCUUGAAGUAAACAUGUGGUUAUAAAAUAGGCUUGAAUGACGUUUUGGGAUUGUAGUGGGAGGUCGCAAUAUGCAUUAGCGACUUCAUAUUAAGAGUUCAGAGUAGUCAUUGAAGUGGUAAGUUCUAACAGUAAUUGGGAGCCACAAUUAUCAGCACUUCAAGAUUUUCUUUGAGUUAUAGUUUGUUCAGACCAAGUAUUUCAUUCAUAUUUCUCAUUUUAUGAUGUCACAGUGUUGAGUUCAUGCAUUUUAUCUCUAAGUAAGCUAGUAUAUGAAGUAGAAGGCUCAAAGGAUUAGCUUGGGGCUACUUGUAGCGUUAAGCACUGUGUGACGUUCCGAGACCCGGUUGCAGGGCGUUACACAAAUAUCCUACAUAAUCAGCAUCAAAAUAUCCUACCAAAUUCAAAUUACUACCUUUGGGAUACCAUAAUCCAAGAUCACUUGUUCCCUUCAAGUAUCUGAAGAUUCUUUUCACUGAUUUUAGAUGUGAUUCUUUGGGAUUUGCUUGAAACCUAGCACAUAGCCCUACACUAAACACAAUGUCAGGCCUUCUAGUUGUGAGGUAUAGUAAUGAGCCUAUUAUGCCUUUCUACAAUUUUUGCUCUACAUCAGGACCUGUUUUAUCUAGAUUAAUCUUUGUGGCAGUGAUAAUAAGAGUGUUGAUUUCCUUAGCCUUUUCCAUGACGAAUCUUUUGAGAAGCUCUUUGACAUACUUCUGUUGGUGUAUCAUUGUUUCUGAUGCUGACUAUUUUAUUUGAAAUCCUAAGAAGUAAUUUAGUUCUCCCAUCAUGCUUAUCUCAAAUUCACAACUCAUGAGUUUGGUAAACUCAUAAGUCAUAUUCCUGUUGGUUGAUCUAAAAAUAAUGUCAUCCACAUAUACCUGCACAGCUAACAAAUCCUUUCCAUUAUUUUUAAGAAAAGGGUAUUGUCAAUUUUACCACUGGAAUGAGGAUUCUCGAGUAGAAACUUUGACAACCUCUCAUACCAAGCUCUACAUGUUUGUUUCAGCCUAUACAAGGUUUUAUCUAGUUUAUACACAUGAUCAGGAAACUCCUUGCUUUCAAAUCCUGGAGGUUGCUUGACAUACACCUCCUCUUUGAGAGUGCCAUUCAUAAAUUCACUCUUCACAUUUAUCUGGUAGAGUAUAAACUCCUUGUAGACAGCAAAAGCAACAAGUAAUCUUAUAGCUUCAAGUGUUGCUACAGGAGCAAAGGUCUCAUCAAAGUUGAUUCCUUCCUCUUUAUUGUAUCCUUGGACCACUAACCUUGCCUUGUUUCUUGUGACUGUUCCAUGCUUAUCAACUUUAUUCUUAUACACCCAGUUGGUUCCAAUCACUGAUCUAUUUUUUGGAAGAGGAACUAAGUGUCAUUCUUUGCGUCCUUUAAACUAUUCAACUCUUCUUGCAUGGGUAUGAUCCAAUCAACAUCAAGCAAUGCUUCAGUUAUUUUCUUUGGCUCUAUUUCUGACAAAAAUGCCUUGAUGGCUCACAUACUUCUCAGUCUAGAUAUGUUAGUAAUCCCAGAGGUGAGCUUAAUGAGAACAUUCUCUAUAGGAUGUGAUCCUUGAUACUUGUAUCCCUUUGGAAUCAAGCCUAGUGAGCUACUAGGAUCACUAAUGAUAUUCUAAUCUGGGGUAGUUGGUAGAUCAUUUUCCCCUGUCACUGUUCCUUCAGCUUUAGUUCCCCCUGUUGAGGUGCCUACAGGUUUGGUAGUUCCAGUCAAUGAAUCGGGUUGUGUAACCUGUUCCUCAGUAUCAUUUCUUUCCUGCAGGUUAUUCUUAACAUAGGAUUCAUCAAAGAUCACAUGCAUGCUUUCUUUAACAUAGUUAGUUCUGUUGUUUAAAACCCUAUAGGCUUUACUAUGAAGUGAAUAACCUAAGAAGAUUCCCUCAUAACUUUUAGCAUCAAAUUUCCCAAAUUAUCCUUUCCAUUAUUAUGUAUGAAACAUUUUCUUCCAAAGGUUCUAAAGUGAGAGGUGUUAGGCUUUCUUCCUUUAAGUAAUUCAUAGGGAGUCUUCUCUAACAUAGGUCUGAUCAUGCAUCUAUUUAUGAUAUAUGCUGCAAUACUUAUUGCCUCAGCCCAAAGGUUUUUAGCAAUAUUUGCUACGAGCAUCAUUGUUCUAGCCAUAUCCUCUAAGAUUCUAUUUUUCCUUUCCACCACUCUAUUUCAUUGUGGUGUUCUAGGAGCUAAGAAGUUAUGAUCUAUACCAUUUGCUGAACAAAAUUCCAAGAAUUUUACAUUCUCAAAUUAUGUACCAUGGCCAGAACUUAUGGAGACUAAGGAAGUACCUAGUUUUUUUUCAAUUUUCUUAAUGAAAAUUUUUAAGACAUCAAAGGCAUCUUCUUUAGAGGCUAGAAACAAUGUUCAGGUGAACCUAGAAUAAUCAUCAACAAUUACAAAAAUAUACCUCUUUUCACCUCUGCUUUAAAUUCUCAUUGGUCCACACAAGUCCACAUUAACCAGUUCAAGGCACUUAGAUGUGCUUACAUGUGGAAUCCCAAACCUGCCUUUUCAUUGUAAUUUCUUUCACUCAAUUUGUGAACAAUUCUUGAGGAGUUUGUCCACCUAUUUUCGCUUUCAAGAUCCAGUUUUAGUUUAGAAACUUCUUGACUAAACUUAUUCAUUUUUUUAGUUAAAUCAUGGCAUUCUUGUUUUUAUUUAACUAGCUCAAGUUCAGCAUUUUCUUGUUCUUUACUCAUGGUUUUUUUCCCAUUUUUAGUGAGAAUUAAUUUGAGAUCUUCAGACUUAAGAUCAUUGUUUGAAAUCUCAAGUUCUGCAACCUGUUUCUUGAGAGUGCAAGUUUCCUUAUCAACUAUACUUGAGCAAGCCUUUAGAUCAGUGAGAUCAAAUUUUAGGUUUACAAGACUGUUGAACAAUUCAUCACUAUCAGAGGUUAACUCUUGGAAAUCAUCAAUCAAUGCACUUAUCAAGGAAACAAGUUUUGGUUUUGAAAACAAUUGCAAGUUUUCUUUGAGUUCAAGUAUACUUACCUCAGAACCCUCAUCUUCCUCAUUUAAGUCUGAAUCUCCAAGAGCCAUGAAUGCAGUUUCAUCAACUUCAUCUUCAUCUGAAUCGAAUCCCCAGGAUUCUAUCAUUGCAUGCUCCUCCUUUUUUUUUUGCCUUCAGUUCCUUUUCAUCCCUUUCCUUCUUCCAUUCUAUUUCCCAGCUAGAUAGUCUCUGAUUUGAUGAUCAGUUUUGCCACAUUUUUAGAGCCCAUUUGGAUUGUCAUUGGAACAUUUCUUAGUACCUAUUCUCUUUUUCUUCUUAAAGAAUUUGCUGAAGUUCUUAUUUAUGAAGGCAACUUGCUCCUUGUCAAGUUGAAAUUCCUCAUCAUUAUCAGAAGCUUUAAAUGCCAAUAUUUUCUCAGGAUCUGCUUGUUCUUUGGUUCAAUCUAUUUCCAUUACAUAAGUCCUUAAGUUCCUUACUAGUUCAUCCAGGGUCAUGCCUUCAAGAUCCUUAUUUUUCUCCCUGAUUGCAGUCACCUUAACAUCCAUUUUGAUUUCGGUAAUACCCUCAGUACCUAUUCAACUUAUUCCUCCUCAAAGAUGACAUUUCCUAAGAAAGUCAACUCAUUUAUUAAAGUGGUAAGUCUUUUCAUCAUCUCAUGCAGGGUUUCAUUUUCCUUUAUUUUGAAUGUCACAUACUCAGUGAAAAGGAGAGAGAUCCUAAAUUUUCUUACUUGAGAGGUACCUUCAUGAGCAUUGACCAGGGCAUCCCAAAUUUGCUUAGCAGUAGUGCAGGUUGAUACCCUAUUGUAUUUAGCAGGUCCUAAUCCACAAACCAAGAUGUUCUUGGACUUUGCAUUCUUAUUCAAAGCCAACAAGUCAUCAGGAGUAAAUUCACUCCUUACUUUCUUAACUUGUUCACCAUCAACCAACUUUAUUGGAAUAGUGGGCCCAUUUGUAAUCCUGUCCCAUAAUCAUAGUAUUCACCUUGGAUGAACAUGUCAAUCCUUGCCUUCCACCAGAUAAAGUGAGAGCCAUCAAGAAGUGGAGGUCUAGUAGUUGACUGACCUACACUGUGACCAGUAGGAGGUGUGGAAUUCAUCAUGUUGAUAUUAUCUUAGGUGCUAGCCUUAUUUAAGACAACCUCACUCUGAUACCACUUGUUAAAGUAUGAGCCCUACUAAUUGUCUAUCUAUUGAACAAGUAAGUAAACGUGGUUCACAGAAGUAACAGCUGAACACAGUGUUUUUACGUGGAAAACACGCAGCUCAAGAAAGGUGUAAAAAAACAUGAUUUGUACCUCUACAGGAUUUAACCCCAACUUCACUAUAACACUUGAGCCUCAACAAUCAACAAACUUACAAGACUUCUUUUUUGAAUAGGAUUCUUCUUUUAUCUCUGCAAGACCUCUUAUUCAAUUCAAAUUCUGUAAGACUUCUUGUUCAACUCAACUCCUGCAAGACUUCUUGUUCAACUCAACUUCUGAUGUGAUAAAUGUUAUCCACUUCUGUUUGAAUGAAGAGUCAUCUUAUCAAUAACUUGUCUGCAGCUGAGCUUUGUUCACUUGGACAAACCAGCUUUCAGAACAUGUUUCAUUCACAUGUCUAUCAUCAAAACUCCUACUUUCUUAACAAAUUCUCUUUUGUAUGACCUUUAUACCCACAAUGUUCACAAAUGAUGCCAGAUCUCUUCCCUUGGAAGCUUUGUCCUUGUAAAUUUAUUCCCUGGAAAGUAUGAUCUUGUGGUUGAAAACUGUGUAGCUGACUAGAGUUGUUCUGGUUUCUGCCAGCCAACAUUGUUAGAGGUUAAUUUUUUUCCUCAACCAGACCUAGUUUUUGUUGGCUUUCUUCCUGAAUUGCCAUUGAAUAAGCUUGGUUUACACUAGGAACUGUUGGACUAAGCAAAAUGGAACUCCUUACUUGAGCAUAACUCUCAUUCAACCCUACUAAGAACUGCAACAAUAUCUGUUGUUUCACAUGUUCAAUAUAUGAGCUUAACUCUACACAUUCACAACUAGGAGAAGGCACCAUAACAUCUAUCUCAUCCCACAAAUCUCUCAUUUUGGAGCAAUAUGCUAUGACAGAACCAGUUCCUUGAGUCAUCACACUGAUCUCUUUCCAUAGGUGAAAAUUUCUGGUUAGACUGGACUUAUCAAACCUUUAUUUGGAAUCACUCCAGACCAUCUUUGAUCUUGAUGCAUACACGAUGCUUGUUAUUGAUUCUGGUGUUAGAGCUACACUAAUCCAAGACAACAGAACUGCAUCACAUCUCUCCUAUCUAAUCACUAAGUUCCCUUUAUACAAACUCGUUGCACCUGUACCAUCAACAAAUCCAAGUUUGUUUUUGACUAGCAGUGCCAAUCGCAUCGAUCUGCUCCAUAUUCCAUAAUUCUCUGGACCUGUGAGCUUUAUCAGAAUCAAGGCAACACUAGAAGUAUCAGAAGCCUGUAGAUGCAGAGGAUGAUUGUGAUCCAUCUGCAGAUCAAAUGCAAUUUCUUCUCUUUGAUCACUCGCCAUUGUUGAAGCUCAAAAAGUAUCAAUGAAAAUCCCAAUUGACUACUAGCACUUCGUCACUCGAUCGCCUGCUCUGAUACCAUGAUAACUUCUACACAAUCACUAAAUUGAAAAGAAGCUGAAGCUAAAACUCCAUUAAGAAACUCAUGAGUUUACAUGUUCCUAUACUGUGUCUUCUCUCUUAACUUGAAAACUGAACUAGUGCACCUCUUAUCUCUUCUAUAGCACCAACUUAACCCAUCUCAACUGCUACACGUGAUUAACACAUGACCACUCUAACAAACUCUAGCAAACUCUAACAACCUACUAGUUGCAAGCUAAUUGUACAGCUCAACAGUAGCAGCUCAAUACUUACCCUGCAUUUUUGUCGGUGAUUCUUUAGCCAUGACUCAUUUUGGCUAAGCUACGUGACAAGUUAAUGUAGUGAUAUAAUUAUUUAGGAAUUAAUUAGUAUAUAUGAUUGGAAAAAGGUUCAGAUUUACAUCAUAGUUUAAGAGUUUAGUUUAGCUAUGCCCCUUGCUCGCUCUGCCCCUCAAUCUCUUAAAAAACAAUUCCUUCUUUUUAGGUAAUUGUGGUGUUCAAGCCAGCUUGUGCACACCUCGACUAGUUCCCAUGGAUCUCAUACCUCGAGGAUAAUGGCUCACCAACAGUUAAUGUUGGUCUGUAAUAGCUCCAAUGUUCAUUCCCUGUACACAUUCAGAUAAACUUCAAAUCAAAAGUCUGAAGUCUUCAAUCCUUAGCUAACACCAGUCUGAAUCAGAAUCACUUCCACUUACUUCACAUUUAGCUAUUGCAAAAAGAAGAUAAAAGGUUAACUAUAAGUUUGAUAUAAGCAUGGCUGAAUCGAUUUUGGUUCAAGUAUGAACUUCGUCAUUGUUCAAGUUUCAAACGCAAUUGGUGUACUCACCUGGAUCAUUGUAAGCACGAACACCCACAGCUUUGCCUCGUAAGGAUUCUUGCUCUUCUUGAACUCGUCCAGCCCACAAGAGGAACGGUUUCUGUUUUAUCAUUUCCGAUCAACAAAAAGUUUUGGCGUUGUGCUUCUCUCCAGCAUAACUCGUGGACCAGAUCAUGAACCCUUCAUGUCUUGAUUUUUCUUCCAUCCGCACUUUUUUGGCUAGCUAAGACUAGACAUCUAUUGACAAGAUCCUGCAAAUGGUUUUCAGCCUCUUCUUCCAGGUCACCAUCCAGCUUCAAGAACCCAUCAGCGAUCCAUAAUCUCACCAAUAUCUACACUGAAAUUUCGCUGUCUUCAUGAAAUAUUCUGAGAUACAGAAGACAUGCUUGUAAGUCAUUAGGCAAGUAGUGGUAACUCGAUGCGACAGCGCGUAGACAUUGCUCAGCAGGAUCUUUUGUUACACGCGACUUCAUAUUCUCAGCAACAUUCUUCCAUUUUUCUUCUGUGCUUUUAGAUUUGGACAGAAGCCGAGCAACCACGACAAUUGUUAGUGGUAACCCUUGACAUUUGUUUGCAAUUUGCUCCCCGAUAGGAACUAAUUCACGCGAGAAUCUUUCAUUUACAAACGCCUUGCUCUUAAAGAAGAUUACUUGAGCUCGUAUAAAGAGCUACCUGUCGACUCCCAUUAUCAUCAAUUGGAAAACAUUCUCUCGUGUCAUCCCACGAUUUAUAGCUCCAUAUGUCAUCCAUGAAAAUAAGAUACCCAUUACACUUCAAAUGUCUCUGUAGAAGGUCCGCUAGCUCUGCCUCAUCUCUGCUGUAGACUUUGUCAUCGAUUUUGAUUAUAGAUUGAAGAAGACUUAGCAGGGUUUCUUUCACAAUGUAUUCUUUAGUUAUAGUAGCCCAAGCGUGAACGUCAAAAUGGGACUGAAUCAAAGGAUGGUUGAAAACUUGUUUUGCUAAAGUUGUCUUGCCAAUGCCUCCCAUCCUGACAAUUGGGAUGACUUUUAUUUCAUCGGAGGAACCUCCUCUCAUUUCUUGAAGAAUCCUUUUCUUUUCCUUGUCACGUCCCACCAUAUUGUUCGAAACUUCCAGAUUAGGUAAUUUUUCUGAACUCCUAUCUCGUGCCAAGGACCACGUCGAUGCUUGUCUACCUUUAUGAUCUUGAAUCUUUUUUGACUCUUCUUGGACAAGAUCAAUGUCCUUCACUACUUGUUGCAAGCUCUCACAAAGUUCCUCAUGUGCUUUUCUUCUCUGUGUUUCAUCUUCUGCUAUCAUAGCUUCUCAUAGUCCAAAUUCAAUUUUGUCUUCAGCAGCAUUCGCAAAACCUUUUAUCCACUCCUCCAAAUCUGCCAUUGCCCCAUAACUACUGAUUUGUUUCUCCGAGUUCUUGAGAAAUGUUUCUAUAGAGCUCACUUUAUUAAGAAUAGCUACAAUUUCUUCUCCGUGUUAACAAGCAACGGAUAGCAUUGGCGAAUCAGAAGUCAACAGCAGUUCCAUUGUUCUCAUAAGAGAUGCUAUACUCGCAUAGGCCAUAUCUAUUCUCCGGUUUCCAAAAUGCAAUUACAACUUGAAAUCUGCAAGUUGUAGGAGCUCGAUAAUGUUAAAAUAACACGGCUCACAGCGUUGCAGAAACAGUGAGGUAAAAAUUAAGAAAUCAGGCAACUUCAUUCUGCACUCUUCACUAUCGUAUCUGUUACAUACUUUAUGUCUGCUUCAUAUUCAUGUCAGUAUCAUAUACUUUAUUACACUUGAUUUGACACUUCAGAAAUAUGCAGAAUCCACUUUACCGGUCAAAGAAAACGUUGCACAGAUGGUGGAAGAGGAGCUGUAUGAUGUUCAUAGGUUUUGUAUUAGCUAGUUGCGAGCGACAAUACGACAAAGACUUGUUUGAAUUGUGGCUAGACAAGAGGCACAGAUGUAGACCAAGUCGCGGAGAACUCCUGGCGUUCUAUGAGUCGAUAGAUCGCAUACGCUGGACAGCCCUAGUGUCCAGUCUAGCUUGCACACACCUUGACUAGUUCCACUAACUACCUGCAACCUCCCACCAACACAGGUACUAGAUAACUCUGUCCCCAAAGGCUUUGGCAUAUAGGAAGAAGUCGCCUAGCGUUCUUUGCCUCUCACUGGGAUUUAAAACAAGACCUCAUGGUUCUCGACUCACUUCAUUGACCACUGAGCCACACCCUCGAGUGUGUGCCAAUGCUAAGUCAAUGGACUUAGCUUGAUGUGAUUGACCAAGAUGUGACAUUUGGAUCUGUUGACAUUAAUAGGUACUCCAUAUUUUUAAAGGAUACGAGCAACAUAGGUUAUAAAAGAAGUGAAUUUACGGAUUCAUGGGAAACCACUAGCGUUUGCCCAAAUCCUAAAGAAAAUCAACCAAGUAUCUAUAAAUAUUUGACUAGGAUCCCAACUAUGUUGCUUGGACUAAAAGGACAGCCUGGUGUACUAAAACUCCCGCUAUGCGCAAGGUCUGAGCAAGGGCUCCACCAUAAGGGUACAUUGUACGAAGCCUUACCUUGCAUUUUUGCCGAGGCUAUUUCCAAGGCUUGAACCCGUGACCUCCUAGUCACAUGGCAGCAACUUUACCAGUUGCUCGGAAUCUUUCAAAAAGACCAACUUACUACAACAAAUACUUUCAAGCAGAAAAAUAUACUAAAGGCACAUGAAUAUGAGUUUCAAACAACAAAUUAAUGAAGUAAAAAGGAAAAUUGCAUUACCUCUAAUGGAGAUUGAAAAGUGAAAUUGUGUCUGCUAUCAAGUUAUAACAAAUAUGUUUUAUAUAUGAAAAAAAAUAGAAAGGAAAAAAAGAGUUGACUUUAUAGAAAUGGGAUGACAAUUCCAAUAAGUUGACCUUGGGAUUUGUGUCUAUCAAAGAAAAUAUAAUAUUAUAGUACAUCGAUAUAAGCAUCCAAUAUCCCCUUGAACUAUGCCCAAAGUUGCUACGACACAUUCCAACUUCACAGAGGUCCUAUUAUCCUCGAACUCAAUUUUAGCGUAUUUUUGUUACUCUUUUGUGUUGAUGUAAUACCAUUAUUAUAUAAAAUAGGGCUCAUGGAAAAAGUGCCACGUCAGUUAAAAAGGUUGACAAAAAGUGUCACGUCAGCUAAAAAGAUUGACAAAAAUACGCUAAAAUUUAGUUCAUGGGGUAGUAGGACCUCCGUGAAGAUGCAGUGUGUCAUUGCUUAGUUUAGGAGGGUACAAGACGCUUUUCUCUAGCACAUCUGUUUUUAACUUUACCAAGUAAAGUGAGUGUGCAGUCAUUUUAACCAUUGUGAUAUCUAAUUGAGUGUCAUAUAUUAUUUUAGAGAUAAUCGUCCUGUACUCCCUCGAACUAUGAUCAAAGUUGCUACGACACACUCUAACUUUACAGGAGUACUAUUAGCCCUUGAACUCAAUUUUAGCGUAUUUUUAUCACCCUUUUGUGCUGACAUGACACCUUUAUUACAUAAAAAUGGGAUCCACAUCAAAGGUGCCACGUCAGCUAAAAAGGUGUCAUGUCAGCUAAAAAGGGUGACAAAAAUACAUUAAAACUGAAUUCAGGGGGAUCCCCGUGAAGUUGGAGUAUGUCGUAGCAACUUUGGCCAUAAUUCGAGGGAGCACUAGAUGUUUUACUCAUUAUUAUAGCACAUCUGCUUUUAACCCCACCGUUUUGUAUUACUUUUCAUGUAUAUAUAGUAAAUGUCGAACCUCCUUCGAUUAGUUUGUAUGUUUAUAACAUACUCAUAUUUUGAACCCCCUUAGGAAUAAUCCUGGCUCCGCCACUGCAUUUCUAAUAUUCUAAUAAAUAACUUUACCAACUAAAGUGAGUGUGCAAUCAUGUUAACCAUUGUGAUCUAUAAUUGAGGGUCAUAUAUUAUGUGUAAUAAUUAAGCUUUUCUACUAUCCCAUGGAUAUGUAUGUACAUGCAAAUUAGUAAUGCCCAAAUGAGUAAUGUUACUAACAAUUCUAUUAACUCAAAAAUAUGUUACAAUACAAAUCCAGAGACAAUAUUAAAAUUUAGAGAAAUCACAUCUCCUUGGAAGCCACAAUAACUGGUAAAGCUGUUGCUAUGUGACUCGGAGUUCAGUAGUUCAAGACGUGGAAAUAGCCUCUUGCAGAAAUGCAGGGUAAGACUACGUCUAAUAGGUCCUUAUGGUCUGGCCCUUCUAUGUCUUAUAGAUGAACCGAAAUGAAAUCGAGGGACUUCAAUCGUUUUGCUCUUGAUCUUCAUUACUAAUGUCCUUCGAAACCAAAAUUAAUCCUCCCUUGAAAGAAACAUAAAGGGUCAGUAGAAGUUCAACGAGUCACAUUAUUCAGAUGCAGAUAUAGGGCGUGUUCAACCGAACUCACAUCUUUCAACUCUAACUUCAUGUGAACAGACACAGACGUAGGAGUUUAUGCAAUCUGAUAAAUAAUAUUGAACUCGUCACCUGGUUAACGCGUCCUGCCACAUCUUUGCCCUAACCAAGUGAGACACGAUAUUUAAUGCUAACUCAAAAUCAACACCACCACCAUCAUCAUCGUCGUCGUCGUCGUCAUCAUAGUCUUCAUCAUCCUCAUCCUCAUCAUCUACAUCUUCUCCUGUAUGAAGUCACAGAAGUGAAGUAUAUUGGAAUAUUUUCCUUUUAUACUUACUAAGUACAACGUAAGCAGAUAAGGAAGUUCAUGUAAUGUUAUACUAAUCUGAAUACGGUUUUAAGAUAAGAACAUGCACUGGUUCUGCUCCAAGAUCUUCCUGGUCUUGUUGAAUAUGUGCAGUACAAGUCUCGAGCGCGGGCUUACAGCCUUCUAACUCAAUCAGGUGUAGUGUGUCGAUUUCUACAAAUUCAAUGGGUAUCUCUUCCAAAUUAUAGCAAUUGCUAAGCAUGAGGCGCUCAAGGACAGAAAAAUUGUCAUUUGGGGCUUUCCAGUACUUGAGAGAAUUAGUUUCAAUUAGCAAAACCUUCAAUCGAGUAAAUCCCCCAACAAUUGGAUGUCUUUCUUUGCCACAACAAGCAGAUGAACGAGAAUGUUGAGAGGUCCAGAUUCCCGAAAAUUUUCAUUGUCAUCGUUAUUUCCACCGAUUCCUAAUUUUUUAACAUUCUGAAUCCUAGAAAUAACCUCUUUCAUGCAUCAACAUGGAGACAAGUGAGAAAUAGUUCGUCAACAGAUACGCUUGGGCGAUUUGGCAUAUCAAAUUUUUCCAGUUUGAGAUGCCUUUAUUGCAUUAGUCCCCAAAUUUUCUCAGGAAAGAGAACUAUACUCUUGCCACAAAAAAUAAAAUUUGUGUCCUUUGAAUUUCGGUCAUAGGUUGCGGAAACUUAUGCCUUCUCGUCAAAUUCUUGUAUCAAAUAAAUAGAUCAUAGGAAUGAAUUAAACAACACGACCUACUCUAUUACUUCUCUCGAAUAUCAUUGAGUUGAUCCCACAGAAUAUAUUGUCAAACAUACACAAUAUAAAUUGCUCCAUGAAGGAGAAAAAGUAUACAACAACAAGAAUUAACAAGCUAGAAGACAUUACAACAUAAAUGUAAUGAAUCAAACUCCCUAUAUUGGAUAGAAACCGAUUGGAUACUCUUGUUGCUCGUCCUCUCCGUGUCUUCUGUUUUCCAAAAGCUGCUCGAAGAAUCCACUAUACUUAGACGAGAUCAAAACUUCUUAAAGAUGUGUCUUGCUAUGACAAAGCAAUAUAAAUUAAAAAUAUAAAAUCUCCCAUUUACAAUCAAAUCAUGUCAAUUAAAGUAUAGAAAUAUCAAGUGGAAUUGUUUAAGUGUACAUUUUUACAUUAGUUAUAUAUAUGUUAGAGUAAUUGUUACCAAGAAAUCAAUGUUAUGAAGCGAAACAAGAUACAUCAAAUUAUGCAAUAAACUAGAAAAUAAAAAUGCAAAAAGAACACCUUGAAGUGUGAGUUCAUAUUAAAUUUUCUUUUUCACAAUUUUGUAAAAUUUACUCCACUAUAUCAAAAAUAAAUGUCAAUAAUACUUGUCCAUUUUGAAACCAAUGGAUAACUUACCCAUUUUACCCUUAGCAUUAAAUACGAUUCAUUAUCCAAUGUAUCUUCCAAAGCAUUAGAUUUAUUAGAUUUAAAGGGUAAUAUGGUAAAACUAGCCCUAUCAUUUACUAUUUCUUAAUUUAUGUGUCAAUUUAAUAGUGGAUAACUAUUAAUAGACGGAAAAGUAACAAUUAGACCAAAUGUGCUCACAUUUAGCAAGCUUAAACUAAAGUACCAAAAUUGCUCAAAAAUAUAUUUAAGGGGACAUUUUGAACUGCCCUCAAAUAUAAGGGAUAUUCUUGUUAAUUUCUUCUAUAUUUUAACCAAAUUUUGUCGAAGGUUAUUUUUGUGAAAGAAUAUGGGGCAAAGUUAAAUAACUUUUGUGUACGACUUGACUUGUGGAAAUGAGAAACACAGUGUGACCCCUGAUAAAUACUAUAUACUUACAUAAAUCAGAGAUACUAACAUCCACGGGGUUGUUUCCAAGCUCUUCUUGUUCUUGUUGAAUUCUUGCAGCAGAUUCCCCAAGUUCGGGAAGACACCUUGAUAACUCAAUCAGUUGUAGUGUGUGGAUUUCUACAAACUCAAUGGGUAUGUCUUUUAAACUAUUUGAGAAAACAAUCUUCAAUUAACAAAAUCUUCAAUCGAGUAAAUCCCCUGACAUUUGGAUGCCAUUCUUCGCCACAACAAGGAGCAUUCAUCAGCUUCAGCACCUCAAGGUUAGGCAACUCAGCUAUGAUGUCCAAGUAUGACCAACUUAUAUAAGUGUCUCCCAACUUCAGAUUCUUGAGCAUUGCUGGAAAAGCUUUUGCACUUGCUGGAAAACGAAAUAUAAAACUCAAUGUUUCAAGUUGCUGCAGAUCGACAAGAUUGUUGAGAAGCCCAGAGUCCCGAAUACUCAUAGAGUCAGUCUCAUAUCCACGGAUUCCUAAUUCUUUGACAUUCUGAAUCCCCAAAAUAACCUCGUUCGUGCAACAAUCCAAAGACAAGUAAGAAAUAGUUUGUAUGUUUGAAAAACCCAUGUGACUCCCUUUGUCAGCAGAUACGCUUGGGGGAUUUGGCAGAUAAAAUUCGGGAAGUUUGAGAGUCCUUAAUUGCAUUAGUCCCCAAAUUUCCUCAGGAAAAGUUAUUUUAACUGAUUGCAUAGGCCCUCGAACAAUGAAUGUCUGCAGAUUCCAUAACCUACAAAUUUCUGGAGGUAUGUAUAAAUUCUCAAGGCAGAACAAUGAUAGGUACCUCAACCAGAUGAGGCUUAGUAUCUGUCUGUAGAGGGAAAUUAUCAAUCUCUUCGUGUCUCAACUCCAAAACUUUCUAGUGAAUCUAUUAUACCUAUUAAAUCCACACACCCCCUACAAAUGGUAUCAGAGCACAGCAAACUAAAAAGUACGAAAGAGAUAUAUAUUAGAGUUAGAGUUAGAAUAUACAUGUUAGAAUUAAAAUUAGAUUUAGAGUUAAAAAAUUUACCUACAAAAAUAUUAAAUUAAUUAUGCGAAGACCAUUUAAAAAUAGAGAAGCUUUUAGAAAAAUUAAAGAAUCCUUAAUUAGUAAUUAUCUAGAAUAUAUAAGUCUAAAUAAAACAAAAGAAAAUCCACAAAAACUAGCCUACUUAAUUACCUUAAUAUCUAGUAUUGAAUCAAAAUUAAUAACACAUUUAAAAUCUAGAAGAAUGAAACAUAUACCACUUAAUUAUGAUAAAAUUAGAUUUAGGUAUCCACCGAGAUAUUAUAAAUAUAAUUUAAAAUGAAUAAAAUACAACGAUAUAAAGAAUUAAAACAAAUUAUCUCUGAAAAACGUAAAGAAUUAAAAAUAAGAAUAGAAAGACUACAUUAUAAUAUAUUUGCCGGAGUUAGUAAAAAUUCAAUAGAUACACAAAAAGAUGAAAUAUCAAAAUUAGAAUCACAAAUAGAUAGUUUAGAAUAUGUAUAUCAACAUGACCUAUUCACAAUAAAAUGAAUAAAGAAGAAUUUAUAAUAGAUGAAAAAAUAUAUGAAAACUACGAAGGAUCAAAAAUAAAAAUAGUAUUUUCUAAUCUAGGACGAAGAUAUAAGAAAAUAGGUGAACAUUUAUAUCUAAUGUUAGAAAAAGAAGAAUUAAAAUUAGAAGAUAAAUUAACAGCAAUGGUAAGAAUAGAAAAAGAAAAUGAAGAGAUAGAUAGGAAAAAAGAAAUAGAAAAAAUAAAACAACAAACUACGGAAGAAAUACGAAAAAUAGAAGAAACCAAAAAUAGUAGAAUUGCUGAAUUAGAAAAAGAAUUACAAAUGUUAAAAGAACUGUAUGAACAAAGACAAAAAGAAAAAGAAGAAAAAGAUAGAGAACAGAAAUUACUAAAUGAGAUAAAUCAAUUUAAGGAAAAAUUAGAAAUAAAAAAUGAAGAAUUAGAAAUAAAUAAUAUAGAUAUUGAAGAGACAGAUAAUUAUGAGUCCGAAGAUAGUGAAACAUACACAGAAAUAUUAACAAAUACAAAAAAUUUAGAAAUCAAUGAAGAACAAAAAAUUAAUGAGGAAAACUUAGAAAAUACCCACACAGAAAUAAAUACUCUUGAUAAAAAAGAAAAUGAAAAUAUAAUACCUAAAACAACAGAAAUAAGAAAACCUAUAUACCAUAAGAAUAAGUUUAAAAAAUAUAAUGAAUAUGAUAAAUGGAAACCAAAACAAAUAGUGAAUAAAAAUUAUAACUUUUUAGAUCUAGACUGUGUAAUAGAUACAGAAAAAACAAUACAAUUAUGGAUAGGAUAUAUGACAAAACAAUUAUUAGAUAAUAAUAUAAAUAUAACAGAUGCACCGGAAUAUAUAGAAAAAACACUAAUAGGAUCAGUAAAACUAUGGUUUGCAAAUCUAACCGAAAAUAGCAAAAAAGUAUUAAGAACUAAUAAACCUAUAGAAGGAACAUCAUCGACAACAACUAAACUAACACCUAUAGAAUUAUUAAAAAAAUAUGAAACAGCUAUAAAAGAUGAAUUUGGUAGUACGACAACAAUCGAAGAAGAACAAAAUGAAGAAAAAGAUACAAAUAGAAAUUUAAUGUUAAAAUUAGCAAUAUGUAAUAUGUGUUAUAUAGAUGAAUAUACUUGCGCAUUUAAAGAAUAUUAUUACAAAGGAGCAUAUAGUAUAGAAGAAAGUAAAGAAAUAAGAAAAUUAUAUUUUAAUAAAUUACCCGAGCCAUUUAGUUCGAAAAUAAUAAAAAGUUGGGAAGAAGCAAAAAUAGUAGAUACGUUAGGAGCAAGAAUAAAAUAUUUACAACAAUGGUAUAGAAACUUAUGUGAAAAAUAUAGAGAAGAAUUAAAAAUGGAAAAAACAUUAAUAAGAAAUUUAGCUUGUUGCAAAAAUAAAAUAGCACCCCAAUUUGGAUGCGAAGAAAGAUAUUAUAAGAAAAGAAAAAGACAUAAGAAAUAUAAGAAAUAUAAAAAAUCAAAAUAUAAAUAUAAAAAACCAAGAAAAAGAUACUAUGUAAAAAAUUAUAAACAUAAAAGACCAUAUAGAAAAAAGAAAUCUAUAAAAGAAUGUACUUGUUAUAAUUGUGGAAAGUUAGGACAUUUAGCUAGAGAUUGUAAAUUACCUAAAAAUCCAAAAAAUAAACAAAUAUCAGAAAUAAAAAUAGAAAAUACCGAAUACAUGCAGAUAGAUUAUAUAGAUUAUGAAUUAGAAAGUGAAGAUAGUAUAUAUGAAAUUUCAGAAAACGAAACAGAUAAUGAAAUAGAUAGCGAAAUAGAUGAAUCAAAUGACUGAAGAAGAUAUAAAAAUAAUAACAAAGGAAGAAUAUUUAAAUGAUGAAGGAACGGAACAAAAAAUAAUAUUUGACAGUAAUAUAUUUGAUGAAAUAAAAGGAAAAGAAUUAGAUUUAAGUGUAGACAAAAUAUUUAAAAUACCAACAAUAAAAAAUAUUUUUACUAGGAAAAAAGAUGAAUAUUAUGUAGUAUGCCAAAAAGAACAUGUAAUAGAUUGCAGAUAUGCAAAAGGAAAAGCUAGUAUACCACUAGUAACAAAAAGAAUAAUUAAUAAAGAAAUAAAUGAUAUAAAAAGUAAAGGAGAUCCAAUAAAAUAUGUACACCUUGGAGGUACAGAGAUAUUAAUAAAAGCAUGUUUUAGAGAAGGAAUAGAUACACCAAUAGAAUUAUAUUUAGCAGACGAUAGAAUUAUAAAACCUAUAGAAAAAAGCAUAAUAACUGCCGUAAAAGGAAAUCUAAUAUACCAAAAAUUUAAAUUUAUAAUAAGUGCAAAUUAUUCAGUAGCAGUAACAGAUAGGAAUAUAGAUAAAUCAUUAGUAUUAUAUUGGAAAAUAUCAGGAAUAGAGUUAACCCCAGGAAGUAAAAUAUUUACAGCAAGAUGUAAAAACCUAUAUGUAUUAACAACAAAACAUAAAAUAACAGGAAAAAAUAAGAUUAACAAAAUACAAAUAGAAAGCCCAUUCGAACAAAUAGUAAAAACAAUAGAUUAUAAUGAUUAUACCUAUAGAGACAUAGAUACAGAAGAAAAUUUAGAAAUAGUAAAUGAUAGAAUAAGUACAACGAAAAGAAUAGCUAAUGAAAAGCCAGAAUCAUCAAGCUCAUCAAAAAGAACAAGUUAUGAAACAAACUCAAUAAGUAAUUUAAACCAAUAUUACAUAACGGGAAAAAUAAAUGAAAAAGAAUAUUUAAUACUUUUGAACACAGGACAAGAAGAAAAUUAUAUAGCAAAAUAUCUAGUAAAAAAUGAAGAAAUAAAAACCGACAAUAAUAUAUGCCCAGACUUACCAAGAAGUUUAAUAAAUAAUAAAAAUCUAGCAGAAAAAGAAAUAAUAUUAGGAGUUAGAAAAAUAAAAAUAGAAUUCGAAGUAAAAGAAGAAAUGCAAAAAGCAGAUAUAAUAUUAGGAAUAAAAUGGUUAGAACAAGUAAAACCAUAUAAUAUAGAACAUACACAAUUAACCUUAACAUAUAACCAAGAAAAGUUAUUCUUAAAAAGAGCCUUAACAUGAAAUGAAGAUACAUGUAUUAAUGAAGAUAGUAGUAGAAGGAUAUUACAGUAGAUAUUAUACGCCUAUGAUAGAUACAGGAGCAGAAGCUAAUUUAUGUAGAUAUAAUUGCUUACCAGAAAGCAAAUGGGAUAAACUAAAAACACCAAUAAUAGUUAAAGGAUUUAAUAAUGAAGGAAGCUUAAUUACUUAUAAAGCUAGGAAUGUAAAAAUACAAGUAUGGGAUAAGAUAUUAACAAUAGAAGAAAUUUAUAACUAUGAAUUAACAUCAAAAGAUAUACUUUUAGGAAUGCCAUUUUUAGAUAAAUUAUACCCACAUAUAAUAACUAAAACAGACUGGUGGUUUACAACACCAUGCAAACAAAAAGUAAGAGCAAAAAGAGUUAAUAAUAAAAUAAGAAAGAAAACUGAUUGGAUAAAAGGAAGUGAAAAAAUUACACAAAAGUUAGAAAAUAUAAACAAUACUGAAGAUACAGUAGAACUAGUAGUAUUUUCGAUAAAUAAAACAGAAAUAACUAUAUUUUCAAUAAAUAAAAUAGAAAUAAUUCAGAAAAAAUUAGAACAAUUAUAUAGUGAAGAUCCAUUAAAAGGAUGGGAAAAACACAAAACUACUAUAAAAAUUGAAUUAAUAGAUAAGAAUAGCAUAAUAACACAAAAACCAUUAACAUAUAAUUUUGAUGAUUUAAAAGAAUUUAAAAUGCACAUAGAUGAAUUAUUAGAAAAACAAUAUAUACAAAAAAGUAAUAGUAAACAUAAUAGUCCAGCAUUUAUAGUAAAUAAACAUAGUGAACAAAAAAGAGGAAAAAGUAGGAUGGUUAUUGACUAUAGAAAUUUAAAUGCAAAAACUAUAACAUAUAAUUAUCCGAUACCAAAUAAGAUAUUAAAAAUAAGACAAAUCCAAGGAUAUAAUUAUUUUAGCAAAUUUGAUUGUAAAUCAGGAUUUUACCACCUAAAGCUAGAAGAAGAAUCUAAAGAAUUAACCGCAUUUACGGUACCACAAGGAUUUUAUGAAUGGAACGUGUUACCAUUUGGAUAUAAAAAUGCACCAGGUAGAUAUCAACAUUUUAUGGAUAAUUAUUUUAAACAAUUAUCUAAUUGUAUAGUAUACAUAGAUGAUAUAUUAUUAUACACCAAAACCAAAGAAGAACAUUUAAAAUUAUUAGAACAAUUCACAGAUAUAAUAGAAAAAUCAGGAAUAAGUCUAAGCAAAAAGAAAGCUGAAAUUAUGAAAAACCAGAUAGAAUUUUUAGGAAUACAAAUAGAUAAAAGUGGAGUAAAAAUGCAACAACAUAUAGUACAAAAAAUAAUAAAUUCGAAAGAAGAAUUAGAUACAAAAAAGAAAUUACAAUCAUUUUUAGGAUUAGUAAACCAAGUAAGAGAAUAUAUUCCAAAAUUAGCAGAAACCUUAAAACCACUGCAGAAAAAAUUAAAAAAGGAUAUAGAAUAUAAUUAUGAUGAAAAAGAUAAAAAACAAGUUCAAAAAAUAAAAUUACUUUGUAGAGAAUUACCAAAAUUGCAAUUUCCAGAUGAAAAUAGAAAAUUUAUAUAUAUAGUAGAAGCAGAUGCAAGUGAAUAUAGUUACGGAGGAGUACUUAAAUAUCGAUAUGAAGCAGAAAAAAUAGAACACCAUUGUAGAUACUACUCAGGUACGUUCAACGAGACAGAAAUAAAAUGGGAAAUAAAUAGGAAAGAAUUAUGUUCAUUAUAUAAAUGUUUAUUAGCAUUUGAGCCAUAUAUUGUAUAUAACAAAUUUAUUGUACGAACAGAUAAUACACAGGUACGCUGGUGGUUAACAAAGAAAAUACAAAAUUCAGUUACAACAAAAGAGAUUCGAAGACUAGUUUUAAAUAUAUUAAAUUUCACAUUUACAAUUGAAGUGAUCAGUACUAACAAAAAUGUUAUUGCAGAUUACAUAUCAAGACAAAGCUACACAGACUGAAAUAGUAGAGGAAGAUACUCUAGAAAAAAUACUUAACACCCUAACUACGCUUUCAAUGAAAGUGGACAGUAUGGGUAAUGAGAUAGAAAAGCUAAAGACUAAUGAAGAUAAACUGAAGUCUAUAGCUACAAAUCAGCUAACUCAGCAAUGUGCAGAGCUAUGUCGAUCGAAAGACAUUAAAAAUCCAGAGCUAGAAGGAGACGUUGGGACACUCCAUAAAACCCAUAACAUUUAUCAAUCUACUUCUGCAGGUACAAGCAAAGGAGUUAAUAGACCAAGAUACCAGAAUGUAAAUAUGAACAAAAUAUUUGAAAAACCAUUUACCCCAAAAGCACAAAAAGACCAUUUAUUCAUACCCCCACAAGUUAACACAUACCGAGACAGCCUAAACCAAGACAAGAAAAUAUACAACUACACAGCCCAAAAAUACAUAGAAAAUAUAUAUAGAGUCCAAACCUUUCUAAACCAUAACCCCAGAGCUACAAAUAUCCAAGAACCAAAUACCAAUUAUAUAACCCAAAAACUACAAGGAUACAAUAAACUGAUAGCACUACCCAAAACUAACCCAAGCCUAGUUAAAACUUGUUUUGACUAUGGACUACUAAAUACCAUAUACACCCAAGACGGAGAAGAGCUAACAGCUAUGGAGGAAUUAUACAAGAUAUUCACUACCUACAAAAGAAUAACAAAAGGAAAUUUAUUUUAUAUAAAGUGUUAUACUGCACCAGCAGAGAUAUUAUAUGACGAAAUAAAACCAGUUAUACAAGUUGUAAAGAUAGGAUUAACAAGAGAUAUGAUUAUACCAGAAGAUAUUUCGCAACAACCGGAGAUACCUAGAAUCGAGAUACCAGAUUUUUAUGCAAAUAAAAGACUUAUUGGACUAGCUACGAUCAUUCAAGAACUAGCAAAUAACUAUGCUAACGGAAACCCAAUAUGGAGCUACUAUUCAAGAGAUCACCAAAUGAUAUAUUCAAAUUCAAAAGAGCUACGACAAGCAGAUAUGGAAGACGUAAGACAAUGGAUACUGACGCUACUUAACCCAGAAAAAAAAAUCUACCGCGCGAGCAAUGAAAAAGGGAUUUAUUUCAGACGGACUGCUAACAAGAUACUGUAAGAUAAUCGGACAUAAAUAUCCAGACCACCAAUGUUCAAGGUGCAAUGGAGAAGAUAAUAUUAUUCCAGAGGUACAUCUAGAAUAAAGAAGAUAAAAUGCCAGCUGGAAGGAUAAAGAUAAAAGAGCAAUAAUGGAGCCGACACAGGGCAAUAAUGGAGCAGAUACAGAGCAAUAAUAGAGCAGAUAAGGAGCAAUAAUAGAGCAGAGACGACAAAAAUCAACGGAGACAAGAUACUGUACAUUAAUUAAUUUGUUAGACUUUUUAUAUAUGUAGCCACUAUAGUUGACUAUUUUUUCUUAAGUUUUAGAAAUUGUAUGUAAGUUAGAUACCUUAGGCUUUACUUUACGUAACUUAGAAAUUUAGGAUAAAGUAGAUGGGGAUAGGCCCCACUGUUUUAAUUUUCAUUACUUUUUAGCAACAGCAGACAUGUAAAUUCAUUCUAUAAAUACAAAGGACGAGGGUAUUGCGAAGGGCAAGCCUUCUAAGCCUUCUUUUGAAACAAAUCUCUCUCUCCAUUCCACAAACAAAAAAUCUACUCAGUUAAUUAGAAAAAUAUACUCCAAUGGAAAAAGCUAUGGAACAACAGGAACAACAAAACUCAGAAACAUCAAAGCUACCGGAACAGGUAUAUCUAUUUAUAAUUAUGAAUAGCUAAUUUCAUAAUUCCCAACAAUCAUGAUAUGAUAAAAUAAAUUCAUAUUAGUUACUUUAUAGUAGAAUUAUUCGAAGAAUAAUAUGUUAAGAAGUUUAUUAACAAAGAGGAAACGGAGAAAUAUCCCUAAGGACUAUGCCAUCCUAAAGGUGAAACCAUUGAGGCAAGAAGCCGUGGCGGGGAGUAACCAGAGUAGAGGCGCUGUUUAAGGGAAAAAGUAUCCGGAUUACCAUGUUAAUAGUGACGGAAGAACAUAUUAUUUAAGAAUACUCUAGUAUAUAGUAAGCCAAUAUGACCAUAUUUUGUUGUGUACGUGAUUGAAGGGAAUAUUUUGAAAAAAGCAAAUUUAUGAAAAAUGAAUGAUAAUAUAUCUGAUGUGAUGGUAGAUAAAUUCAAGAUACUUAUUUUGUAUGCACUUAGAAAUAUAAAAGUAGCAGAUAUAAGAAAAAUCAUAUUAGAAAAAGCUUUUGGUGAAUAUUAUAUGACUAGAGUAAGUUAUAUACCAUAUCUACCUAACUACUCUUACAAAUAUUUACGAUGAUAAGUUACAUAAGAUUUUUAGAAAAAGAUAUAAAAAAUAUGCAGUUACUAGAAAAACAUAUAAAAAUAAAUAUAGAUAAAUACAUGGAAAACAAAGAUAUAAAAUUUCUUAAUAAAAAUAUGCAAAAACUGCUAAGACUAAAACAAACAGCUACAAAACAAUUUUAAAAAUAGAUCAUUUAGAUUAUCUUAAAGUUUUAAUCUUAUAUAUACUUAAAAACAUAGAAAUUAUAGAUAUUAAGAAAAUAAUAUUAGAAAAAGUAAUAGAUUACGAAACUGAAACUAUAAAUUACCUAGAACAGUUAUACGAAGAAAUUUACCCAGAAGGAUAUUAUUCAGAUUAAGAUAUGUUAGAAUAUAUUAGACAAACUAGAGAAAAUCAAGAAAAUCUAAAUAAUGAAAUUAAUUAUAGAAACCGAAUUAGACAAAUAAUGAAAGACCUAAAAGAAAAAUUAAUAUGGAUAGAAAAAACCUUAGAAAAUUUAGAUAAAAGUACAUGUGAUAGUUUAUAUAAUUUAAAAAACUCACUACGAGAAGAACAACACAAGAUAAUAAAUAACAUUGAAAAUCUAGAAUUAGAUAUACAUUAUAGUACAGAUAGGAUAAAUUAUUAUACAAGAAUUUGUAACUCUGCAAUUACUACAGGAUAAAAUAAUUAAUGAAUAUAUCUUACGAAAAAAGUAAAUUAUUAAAAGAUAAUAUCCACGCACUAAUAAAAAUAGAUUCACUAGAAACCUACUAAAUCUAUUAUACCUAUUAAAUCCGCGCACCCCCCUACAAAUUAAUUAUAUGUUAUAGUCACGCAUUUAAAAGGCUGCAUUUUUUGCAUAGUGAGAUAUCGACAUUCUGAAUAUGAGUAAACAAGCACAAUGUCGUUCAUGAUAAAAAUGUUCUCCCUUUGAAUUUCUCUCAAGCACAGGUCAUAUAUUAGAUCAUGAACCUUACAUGAUCUAAUUUUUGUUCCAUCUAAACUUUUCUUGCAGACGAGGACUAGACAUCUAUCGACAAGCUCUUGCAAACACUUCUCAGCCUCUCCUUCCAAAUCAUUUUCCAACUUCAGGAACCCCUCAGCCAUCCAUGAUCUCAUCAAUUUCUUCACUGGAAUAUCACUGUCUUCUGGAAAAAUCCCGAAAUGCAGAAGACAUGCUUUUAGAUCGCUAUUCAAGUGAUUGUAACUCAACCCAAGCACACGUGAACAUCGUUCAUCAGAUCAUUUGUGACAAAUGACUUGACAUCUUUGGCAACACUUCUCCAAUCUUCUAUUGCCCUUUUAGAUUUGAGAAGUCCAGCAACCACGACAAUAGUUAGUGGUAACCUGUGACAUUCGGCUGUGAUUUGCUUUCCAACAGUCUCGAACUCAUAUGGUAAUUCUGCACUUUUGAAAAGACUCCAACUCUCAUAUUGAUCCAAGAAGCUCAUCCGCAAAUAAAGAUUCUCUAUACCAGCAUAACAAGCUACUUCAUCGUUACGGGUAGUCAACAAUAUUCGAAUCCCUGCAUUGUCUUCAGUUGGAAAGCAUCGUCUCACGCCAUCCCACACUUCACAACUCCAGAUAUCAUCAAAGUCAAUAAAGUACUUCUUUCUCUUAAAACUUUUCUGCAGCAUGUCUGCUAGCUCUGCUUCACCUUUCGUCUUAACUGUGUCAUCCAUAGUCGAUUGCAGAAGGCUCAGCAAAAUCUCCUUUAUGUUGUGCUGCUGAGAUACCUUAGCCCAGGAACGAACAUCAAAACAGCGUAGAAUUGAUUCAUGAUUGUAAACUUCUUUCGCUAUGGUUUUUUUACCUAUGCCUCCCAUCCCGACAAUCGGGAUAACUUUGGGUUCACCAGAGUAGCUUCCUUUCAGAUCUUCUAACAAGCGUUCCUUUUGAUCAUCACGUCCAACCAUAUUAUUGUUAACAUUCACAAUAUCAUUUGUUGAACUUGAAAAAUCAUGAACCAAUGAUUCCUUUGAUACUUGUUUGCCUUUAUCUUGAAUCUUUGUUGACUCUUUCCAGACAUGAUCAAUGUCCUUUGCUAAUUGUUGAAGGCUUUUACGAAACUUUCGGCGUGUCCAUAUAUUCGAGAUUCCUUUGAAAAAUCCUGAGACAAUGAUUCCUAUGAUUCUUUUCUCUUCUCCCUGUACAGUUUCUGUUAGUCUCAGUUGAAUUGUGUAUUGAACACCACUUGCAACUUCUUUUACAUCUACUUCAAAAUCCUUCAUUUCUCCAAAAACAUUGUUUUUCUCAAAGUUCUUGACAAAUACUUCCAGGGAACUAACUUUUUCAUGAAGAGCACAAAGUUCUUCUCUGUUAUAACAUAUUAGAGAUUGCAUCGGCGAAUUGGAUGUCAAGACUGAUUCUAUUGUUCUCAUAAGAGAAGCCACACUUGCAUGAGCCAUAUCUACUGUAUUCUCAUUUCUUUCCUUUGUGCUUAUGACCUGAAAGCUGAAGGUUGCAAGAGGUCAACGGUAUUACAAAUAACGAGAUACGCAGAUUUUUUGAAAAGGCACGCAUAAGAUCAGGUAAUGUAUUUGCCUUAAUCAUAUCAAGCACAGGGGAACAAUAACUCCCAGUACGCAAAUGUGUAAAGAACAAAAGAUAGAGUGUAACAACCCGCAUUUCGGGCUAGAAUGUAAACUGUCAUUCCAACGCAUAAUAGUUCCAAAAGACAUUAAAUCCUAUGAAAAUUUAGUGUGUUAAUCAAUUAUGUAGUGUGGUAAUCUAGUUGGUGAUGAAUUCAGGUCAUAGAGUCCCUUAACUCAAAGGCGUUGAAAGUCUUCCUCUCGAUUGAGUUUUAGUGAGCAUUUAAACUUGGGUCAACUUCCAUCGACCAUAUAUUUUUUGUAUAUAUCAAAUUAGGGGUAUAACUACAUAUCAAAUGAAAGGUAUUUGAGUCCUCUUUCCAACUCCACUGGUUUCAUCUUAAUCCAAUAUCGAAGUAGAAAGUUAUGCACAUUUUACUUCGAAGUGUCUGUCUGCCAAAAUGUGACGACGAGGCUGACGACCUAUCAACUAGGUGACGACCCAUCAGCCCUAGUCGUCAGCCUAGGGAAGAAAGUGGUAAAAUCCAUCCCAAAAUUGAAGACCCGGGUGACGGCCUAUCACCUGAGUGACGGCCCGUCAACCUUGGUCGUCAACUGAUGAAAUUCUGUGACUUUUUUCGGGUUCCUAGGGGGUAUUGUGGUCUUUUCCUCACUUGGAAAACCUUUCCCAUGAAUUUAAUUACACUCUAAAUGUUAUUAAUCAAUCAUUAUCAGUUAAACAAUAUCAAAAUUCUUUAUUCACACUCAAAUACAAGAUCAAACUAGGUUUCCUCCAAGAACAAGAAAUCAAGAAAAAUCAAUCCUUAAGUCACGGAUUUUCAAGGAACAAAUCAAGAUUCGAGUUCCACUCUUUAAACUAAGUAAUCUAAGGUACGUGGGGUUUUCCUAAACUACAUGGUCUUAUUGAAAACCUUUUGAAUAAGGUUUAAAGUUGUGAAAUCAUGUAUUUACAAAGGGUUUUGAAUUUAUAUUAACAAUUAUGCAUUGUGAACCCUUUUGAUGAUAAUGUUUUGGUCUUGAGGUCUUACCCCUUAAACUAGAUUUUGUUUAUAUAUAUAUAUAUAUAUAUAUAUAUAUAUAUAUAUGUAUGCAUGUCAUUUGAUGUUUGGGGUUUGAAUUGAGAGCAAGAACCUUGUUUUUAUAUGUUAAGAAUUAUUCAAUAUCACACUGAUAAGCAUGUUGAAAAUGUCGUUACAGUUGUUUAAGACUUGAUAUUAAUUAUGAACGGAAGAGAGGGUGUCUCUUUUUUAUAUAAAGGAGAAGUGAUGAUUUUAAAGAGUUGCUCGUUUGUCACAAAAUACUUGACCACUACAUGUUUUAUGAAAUGUUGAAAAGAGAGAAUCUCUGCAUAGUUUGAAAUAUGUUUUGAAAACAAGAAUUCUCUUGAAUUGUUUGAUUGAUUUGGUGGUUUGAACAUUGUUUUUCUUGAAACGAGUUGUAAUUUGACAAUAUAUGGCUGAGAAUUAUGACUUUCAAGUCUUCAUAUAAUGAUACCAAAAUAGAUAAUGCCAUCACAGACUCAAAACGAAUAGAAGUUAGAUUUCAUUCAGAUUUUCAGAAUUUGAGUUCUUAAAUAUGCAUGUUCAGAAAAGGUUAAAAUGGGCUUAAGAGAUGUUAGGUGGUUACCAAAAGAAGGCACGAGUUCAGAUAACUCAUUUACCAAAAUCGUGUUUUGCCUAUACGGGUUAUUUGGUUCCCAAGAGGGAUUAUAUGUUGGCCUAGUGCCCUGUGACAUAUUAGACUCAGAAACUCCAACUCUUGUGCAAACUUGGGUUGGGGACUUACCCGCCGAGUCAAUGGCGGAUUCCAUAUAGCCCGUGGAAUAUCAUACUUGUAGGGUAUACCACCUAGCUCAGAACUAAGACAAAGAUGUUGAGUUGAUUUACAGAACUAUUUUUAAAGGCCUAUUUACUAUGCCCAUGUAUUUUCAAAUGGUUUUAUGAUGAUGUAUUUUUUUUAUGAAAUUCUCUCACUUACUUUAUGUAUCAGCAUUUUAUUUUUGGAUAGUCCUGCAUACCAUUACAUAUGUAUUGACCCCCUUUAUCUCAGGAUCUGAGGCACAGUCCCAGGGUCCCAUCCAGCAAUAGGCUUGUUUGUGUCAGCAGUUGCAGUUGGUAAGCCUUCUCUAUUCCGGAAGGCCUGAUUUUUAGAUUUUGUUGUUUUCUUCUGUUAUGAUCUACUGGGGGCCUAGUCCCAGUUUUAGAUAAGAUAUUGGCCCCUAUGUAUUAGAGAUUUCGCAGACUGUUGAUAGAUGUUUUUAGAAGUUAUGGAAUUUCAUUUUGAAUUGUUCCUUUGAAUUAUAUUAUUUGACCAUGAUUCCGUAUCGAUAUGUAUUUCUGCAUAGUCUUUUAUAGCAUGUGAACAUGUGUAUGAUGUCCAGAAAGUGAAGGCCGCUCCGGCCUUCAUCGCUCGGGAGGCUCAUCAUGGCCAGGGUCUCAGCUCGGGUCGUGACAUAGAGUACCUAACCAACAUAAAAUUUGAGUGGCUGAGAAAUGAUAUCUGCAGUGUUUAUCAUCCCAAAUAGUCCCUUAAAUUUAAAUAGUUGGUUCACUUAGGUCCCUACAAUGUAAUGUUGAACAUAAAUGGUCCUUUAUCUCUGGGGAUCUGGGGAGGUUAAAGCGUACACAAACCUUACAGCUAUCCUAGAGGUAGAAAGGAUGUUUCUGAUAAACCCUUGGCAAAAGAUAAAUAGUUCAAAGCAAUCGGAAAAAAGAUACCCCUUAUUUAAAAAAUAGAGAAAUUACAUCUCCUUGGAAGCAAGAGGAUAAUACUAAAACAUAUUAUUGUAACAGUAAAAUUUAAAGUUUAAAUAGUAAGAACUAUGAUGAAAUCUUGAACUUCAAUUCUUGUAGCUAUAUUCUGAAAUGAAAUUUCAGUAAUUGCUUUUAAAACUAAAAUAAGAGAAUCACUGGCUCAAAGUUGAGUUGAGAACUUUCCUACCAAUUGAGUUCUAGUGGACGUUCUUACUUGGGUCAACUUCCAACAAUUAUUAAUCCUAAUAUAUAAUGAGUUAGGAGUCUUACUACCUACCAAAGUAAAGGUUUUUGAGUCUUCUUUCCAAGCAAAAAGUUAUGGACAUUUUAGUGAGGCAUCUCAACUACACGUUGGGUAGCGCAGGGCGGAGCUCAAGUCAGUAGAUCACUGGUUUGCCUCCACGUUGGGAUGCGCAGCACGGAGCAUACCUCUCCACUGUAAAAGUUCAUUUUUCUCUUAUCAAAUUAGGGGUAAACUUGUCUUUUCACUCCAUGUAACUAUCCCAACCCGUUUUAUAACCCUAAAGUCGUCCUAAACUAGCAGAAAUCUUUAAAAUCCCUCAUACAAGGCAUUUAUUUCAAGUUAUUCGUAUUUUCUCAAUGAUGGAUUGAGACUAAGGUUGAAUGUUCAUGAAAUCAUGUUAUUGAAUCCUCUCUUUUACAAAUUGUUUUCUAAAUUUAUGUGUUCACUCAACUAAUAGUUAUUAGAUUAGAAAUAUGAGUAAUUAAGGAAAACUAACCUUUCAAUGGUAGAAAUUUGGGAAGAAGCAACUGAUCACUGCAAUAUUAUACACUAUGAGAAAAGAACAUAAAUAUGAGUAUAUGAAAACAAGAUAGAAAUAUUAACAAGUAAUCAAGAUUAAAAUCAAUAGAAAUAUGUCAUACCUGAUCUCUGAGUGACUAAAAUGGUAUUAAAUUUUAUAGAUAACAAAGUGUUGGCUUCUGAUAAAUUGGGAUGAUAACUUCAAUUAUUGUUGAAUGAGGGGAAAGUGAAUUUAUCUAUUUAAAUGGAACAACACUUCACUUAUAUUUUAAAAAGGAGUAAAGCAUCUAAGUGCCCUGAACUAUCAUCAAAUUUGCUACACGGCACUCUAAUUUUACGGGGCUCCUAUUACUUAACUAAAUUUUAACAUAUUUUUAUCAACCUUUUUACCUAACAUGACAUCUAAAACAUGGGCCCCAUUUUUAUGAAAUAAAUGUGCUAUGUCAGUGUAACGCCCCGCAUUUCGGGCUACAAUAAAGACCAUGAUUUCGAUGCGUUGAUAAUCCGAAAGCCAUAAAAUCCUAUGUCAAUAUGGCAUUUUAAUUUGUGUAGCAUGUGAAUCCAUUCAAGCUUAAAUUUAGACCAUAGAGGUCCUUCAACUCAUGGACGAGUUGAAACUAUUUUGAUAGACUAAGUUUUAGUGAACGUUGUAAAGUGUGUCAGCUUCCAUCAAUCAUAACUCUCUGUAUAUGUCAAAUUAGGAAGCCUACUAUGUUUCAAAUGAUAGGUAUUCGAGUUAGCUUUCCAACGAUACAAUUUUGGCUAAAAUCCAACACCCGAGCAAGAAGUUAUGGCCUUUCAAAGUGAUAUGCGUCGCCUAACCAAUCGCCCAUGGCCACUGGAAAGCAUAGGCAAUAACCUAGGCGGCACCUACGUAAACAUAGGCGAUAGCUUAGGCGGCUCCUAUGUGAACAUAGGCAAUGGGAUGGGCGGCGCCUAUGUAAAGAAUUCUAGUGACUUAAACACUCCGUUUUGGGGACAAAGUGGUCCUUUUCCACCCUUACUUAGCCCUAAAACACAAAAUUCAGUUCCAAGGACCCCAAAAUACCCCUUCAUUUAUCAAAAGUGCUCAAAGAUUCUCCUUAGGGUUUCAAAAUAAAAACCCAAAUAGUUCAAGAUUCGAUCGUAGGUUUUCAAAGAUAAUUACAUAUUUGGAAUCACCAAUCCGCAAGCUUCAAGAAACAUCUACUAUCCUUGGAAAUAGAGGUACGUGGGGUUACCCUAAAAUAUCAUGGGUGUAUUUUUUUUUGAGCAUGCAUGCUUUUAAUUGGAGGUUUUCAAUGAAAUGCUAAUAACUUGCUUUCACUAUGAUUUCUAAGUCAUCUUUCUUUAUGUCGUGCGAAUUGGUUGCUUAUGUACUUCAAUUGUUGAAACCAUGCAUAUGUGAUUUGAGAUUUUCCAUGGAAGUUUGAUGAAUAUGAAUGAUAAAUUGCUUUCAAAUUCCCAUGAUAAUGUCUUGAUACCCCACCAUAUCAUAUUGUGAUCAACAAAAGAGAGCAUGAAUUUGAAAUAAAUAUUGUUCACCACUUGUAAAUGAUGAAGCACCUUGGUUUUUACAUGGUUAUGCAUAUGUGAAAGUGAUAUUGAGGACUUGCAAUUCGGGUAUGACGAUACCCUACAGAACAUGAUAUGUGAUUGAAUCAGAUGAAAUUUGAAUGCAUUGAUUUUACAUGAGAAAGGUGGAUGCCCGAAGAAGGCGUUUGAGAGUAAGGGUUCAUCGCAGGAAAACGUGUUUGCCGACAUGGAAUUGUGGUACCAGGGUAAGUGAUCUUGUGUACUUUACUUCAUGUCAUUCCCAAAUUGGGACUAUAGGUAGGAUCCCGAGCUAAGUUAUCUUGGGCACUACCAGUGGGUUGAGACACCAUGCUUUGUGGUCUUGAGUGUCUCUCCCUCACUUAUACUCUAAUCUUGACGGCAACCGAGGUUAGAAAAUUGGUGUAAAUUAUGUAGGGUAUUCCACCUAGCUCAGUUGCAUUUCAUNNNNNNNNNNNNNNNNNNNNNNNNNNNNNNNNNNNNNNNNNNNNNNNNNNNNNNNNNNCUUUAUAAUGGCUCUCAACUAUAUUUUGUAAAAAUAUUAUGUUUUGUUUUGAUAUCUAUGUGUGCCAAUACUUUUGUACUGACCCCCUCCCCUCUCCAACCUCUCAGGUUCAGAGGCCCAGUCUAGGGGUCAAGAGAAUCAUAGAGUUGCAGAAAAAAGUGGUGAGCCUUCUAUGUUUCAGAAAUUCUUAUGUCCUGUAGUCCUUUUACCUUAUAUUCAGUUUUUAGGUCUACUGGGGGCCUUGUCCUAGUUUAUAUACGGUUACUUGACUCAGUCAUUUGUUAGAGAUUUUCGCAGACAGUUGUUUAGGGGUUAAUUGAUGUUGAGGGAACCUUAUCUCCCCGUUAUUGUUUCUUUUCAUAUUUAUGACCAUGUUUCCGAAUUAUUGUGUUUCUUCUGCAUUACUUUGAUCAUAUGAAUUAGGUGCAUGAUUACCAGACAGAUAGGGUGUUUCGGGCCUCCAUGGUUCGAAAUGCUCGUCACGGCCGGGCCCUGGUUCGGGUCGUGACAGUCAGCUCAAAAGAAUAACAAAAAUACGCUAAAAUUGAAUUCAGGGGUAAUAGGACCCCUAUGAAGUUGGACUGUAUUGUAGUAAUUUUGGUCAUAAUUAGAGAGGGUACUGAAUUCUUAUCUCUUUUAAAAAUAAAGUUAAAGAUGAUUAUAUUGUGUUUCAAUUAUCUAUAAUACUAUUUUUGUUGUCACACAAUUUUUCUGAAUGCUAUGUCCUGCUUUCUUUAUUACUUGUCAGGUUUUUGUCUAUUUUUAUAACGAAUUUCAUUUAUUGCAUUUAUGCGAGGGUCCUUCAAAAACGAUCUCUCUUCUUCUACGAGAUAGGGGCAAUAUCUGCUUACACUUACUCUUCUUCGGAUCUUAUUAGAUAUAGCUCAUUGAUGUAUUAAAGAAAGAACUUGGCCAAUUUGUUGUACCGAUCACAAAUUUUUUAUUUAUAUUAGCUGUCUGCAACUUGUACUUUGUGGACUAAUCAAUAAACAAAUACUGUAAUAAAUCACCAGCUUAGGAGCCAAAUAGUGGAGUAUUUUUUUUCUUAAAAAAAGAAAACUUUUUGACUAAUAUGAGUAAUGCUAUGACUCAAUUAUCAAGACUAUCUUUAACUUGCUAAACAAAAAUAUUUUAAUUUUUUAUUCAGUGGGACAUAUAACAACUUAAUAAGUACUCCCUCAGUUUCCAAAAAAUGAUUUACGUUCAUUUUUAGUAUGUUCAAAAAAGAAUGAUUAUUUUUUUUUGGCAACACUAUUUCAACUUUUCACAUGAUUUGUUUAAGAUCACAAGAUUAAAAGACAUUUUAGUACAUUUGAUAUAAUUUUAAUUUAAAAUCACAAGACUUAAAAUUCUUUUUAUUUUGUUAAAUUUCAUACUAAAUCCAAAUAAGUGAUUCUUUUUAAAAUGAAAGAGUAUUAUGCAAGUGAUUAAUAAUAAAAUAGGAAUGCAAAAUUUGCAGAAAGGUCGAGAAAGGCCUUUGUACUUUGCAAAAAGGUCGAACAUUGCCCCUGCUAGAAGUUUGGCUCACUAUGUGUUACGACCCGAACUGAGGCCUGGCCGUGAUGGAUAUCCCCAACCAUGAAGGCCCGGAACGCCCUUCUCUAUCUGAUAAUCAUGCACAACAUACAUAUAAUAAAAGAAAAUGUGGAAAUAUAAUCGAAUAGGGAAACAUGGUCAUAAUCUGAAUUUAAUUUAACAAUGAAGGAUGAAACCCCAAUAUCAACAAAACAACAUCUGAACUAGUAUGCGAAAUCUCUACUACAUCUGAAAAUAACAACAAUCUGAAAACUAGGACAAGGCCCCAGUAGACCAAAACCAUAAUAAGUAACAUAAUCUGAAAGACAUAGGCCUUCUAAAAUAAAGAAGGCUCACCAAUUGAACACAUCACUAUUGUCUGGAAACUCUAUGGCUUAGCAGAACCUCUAAACUGAACUUUACACCCUGGGAGGUAGGGGUCAAUACAAAUGUACUGGUACGCAGAGCAAAUCCAAAAUAAUAAUUUGUAUUCAACAUAUAUGAGAGAAAUUUAAAACAGUUCAUAAAUAUAUCAUAUAGUAAGAAACCUCAUGGGCAUUUUCGAAAGACUUUUGAAAAUCAUCUGAACUCUGUGACAUUCUUUUUUUACUUCUGUGCUACAUGGUAUACCCUACAAUUCUGUAAUUCCACAGGCUAUAUGGAAUCUGCCAUUGACUUGGUAGUCAAGACCCCAACCCAAGUGUGUCGCAAGGGUCGAGUCUCUGAAUCUACUACGCCACAUGGCCAUCGCCAGCGUACAAUAAUAAUCUUCCCGUAUCGACAAAUACGGUUUUAGGCUAAGAGUUACUUGAACUCAAGACUUCUUUGGGUAACCACCUAACACUCUUUAUGCCCAUUUUUAACUCUUUAAAACAUGCAUUCUCUAAAAUAUAUUCUGAAAACAUUCUCUGAAGACAUACUCUGAAAACAUACUCUAAAAAACAUACUCUAAAAACAUACUCUGUUAUGGCAUACAUACUUAUGGUAUCGUCAUACCAUUGAUUUGUCAGGCACAUCUCUGAGCCAUUAUUAACAUAUUAGAAUCUCUAUUUCCAAAACAUAAAUUUGGGACCAUAUCAAUAAAUCAGUUCGAAGCACCCUUUACUUAAAUACUCAUGUAAAAACAUGUAUGCAACUCUCUUUGACAACAUUUCAAAUGAUACAAGGUGGUCAUAUCAAAAUUCUUAAUCUAUUGCAAAUCUUUCUCUCUUUAACAAAACACAUUUAUAUGAAGAAACUCCAUCUCAAAAUCUCUAAAUCAUGCUCAAAAUACUAUGGUAUUGAGUAAACUAUUUUCAAACCAUGAAUCAUGCAUAUCAAAUCAUUCACAAUAAGAUCACAAAUUUAAAGUCAUCACAAGAGAGGGAUGUCACAUUUAUGCUCUCAAACAAUCUUCAAAUCUGAAUUUUUCAUACAUAUACAUAUACAUGUAAAUUAAUUUAAGGGAAAAGGCCUAAGGGCCAAAUCAAUGAUGCAUUUGAACAUUUAUAUUGCAUAAUAAAAUCAUGUAUUUCAAAACCCUUUUCUAAAUUCAUGCUUGAAAAUCUUUAAAUCAUGUUCUAGUGUUUUCAAGCACAUGUAGUUUUUAGGAUAAACCCCACGUACCUUAAAUUACAAGAUCUGAAAGAUGGAACCUAGAUCUUGAUAGAUGAAACCUGGAUCUUGAUUUGUUUCUUGGAGAUCUUGAACUUGAGGCUUGUUUUUCUUGGAUUUCUUGUUCUUGGAGAAAACCCUAAUUUGAUUUAUUUUAAGAAUGAAAAGGAAAUUUUGAUGUUAUAAAACUGAUAAUGAUUGAUUAAUAACACUUAAGGGAUAAUUUAAUUCAUGUGAAAGAUUUUUGGAGUGAGGGAAAGACCAAAAUACCCCUACGAAAUCACUUCCCAGCUGCUGAAAUUCUUAGCUGACGAUCAAGGCUGAUAAGCCGUCAGAUCUGUGAUAGCCCGUCAGCCCAGGUCAUCUCCUAGGACCUAAAAUUGAUGGGUUCGCCUAAGGCUGACGACAUAUUCUGACAAGUCAUCAGAUUUGUGACAAGCCGUCAGAAUUGUCGUCACUCAGUUGCCAGGUUGAUAUGCUGGAGUAAAAUGGACAUAACUUUUUGCUCCAAUAUCGAAUUUUUACAAAAUUGUUGGCAUUGGAAAGAUGACUCAAAGAAAUUUCAUUUGAUGUAUAGUAGGCCCCUCAGUUCAUCAUAUACAAGUAUUUAUGGUCGAUUGAAGUUGUUCCAAGUUUUGACGCUCACUAAAACUUGAACGAUAAGAAAACUUUCAACUAGUCCUUAAGGGACCUCUAUGAUCUGGACUCAUGCCCAUAUAGAUUCAUACACUACAUAAAUAAUUAACACACUAUAUUUGCAUUGGAUUUAUGGCUUUUGGAACAUCUACACAUAGAAAUGACGGUCUUCAUUCUAGCCCGAAAUACGGGGUGUUACAUUAUCUCCCCCUUGGGAUUAUUCGGCCCCGAGUGAUGGGUAGGAACUUGUUGAAGCUUAAAGGUAUGGAAUAACGCGAACAUGAUGUACCUUCUAAGAAAGGACAUAAAUGAUCUGAAACAUUUAAACUUCUAUCAUGAAACUGAAUUCUGAGCUGACUUCACUUCUCUUGCUUCAAGAAGCUGAUUCAUGCUGAAAGUUUAGGAUUCCCUUCAAAUGUUCAUGAUCCAAUCAUACAUAUUGAAUUUUUAAGUGAUAACUUAUGCAAUUACGAAUCAUAAGACAGCAAGACUUAGAUCGUACAAGGGUAUUACAUUGUCUGAGCUAAAAUAUUUGGAAAAUUUGAGAUUAUGCACUGAACUCUUAUGAACAGAGUCAUGACUAAAUAGAUGAAUCUGAAACAUAAUGCUUGGAUUGAACUGAAUUCUCAAUUUACAUGGAUGGAAUAGAUUAUCUCUUGGGAUGGUCAUAUGCAUGAGACUUCGGAUAGUAGGGCCAGGUGAAAAGGUGGAAAACCACAACAACUUGUCUGCCUGACUGUUAAACUGAAUUUCUGGCUAUUCAGAUUGAACUAUACUAGAAACUUAUAUGUAACUGGAGUAUCUCCUCCACACCCUCUCUAAAGAAGUUCUAGUACCAUUAGGGAGCAAAGAAUCUUGAGCAUGAGUUACACAAUGCAUCCAACUACGGAAUUACAACAAUGACAUCACUCUAUAGCAUGGAAUAUAAACAUAUAGGUCAUAAACUAGGAUAGAAUUACCAGGCCUUAGAAAAUACAACUUCUUACUUUCAAGCUUAGCACACUUCUUGAAUAUCCCUUAACUCUACUAUUCUCCUUAAAUACCAUAUACAUUCGAUUCAACUUAUUACUCUCAUGUGGGCAUUUAUAAAUCUUUCUACUAAUGUCUAUAGUAGCUUAAAUCCUCUCACGGUGAUCAAGCCUAACUCCAAUUCACAAACUACAACAAGCCACACUAUGAUACUAGUCUAAACCAUAUGAUUCAACCUUCUAUAUCCUUUUAAAGUUCACCCUACGCAUAUCGUGCCUUACCACUUAAUGACUAACUCUGAUCUCUUACUAUGGAUUCACUAGCACAUAUUACGUUCCUCUACCUAAAUCCCAACAGGUCAUUCAAUCCUAUCUUUAUAACCACAUAUGAACUUUAAGAUAAACACUCAUAAAGACAUACUUCACAUAUUCUCUAAACCACUAUCAAUAUAACUCCCACGUGCUACCCCAAGAACAUACACACACCAAUUUCCACUAAACAUCACAUGUAUUCAAGACUUGGCUCCAGAUCUUACUUUACACUUAUGGCCUUAUCUAAAACAAGCAUACAAUGAUCUUCUAUCAACAAGAAAACAUCCACUUAUCACCACAAUUAUUACAUAAGGAUGAGUCACUAACAGGUUAAAACAUAAGACUUUGAAGUAUGGAAGGAUACUAUACGAAACUCGACACUUAACUGAGGCCAGAGGAACAGCGAAUCAACAUCAGGGAUUCAUCAGAGUGAUUUAAAUUUAGGGCAUACCUGGCUAUAAGCUGAAUCUCGCCAAUCAUUUGGCGUGUAGCUUGAGUUAUGGGAACUGAGCACACUAUAAAGCAUUAGUACAUGAGUCAUAAGCUGCAUGACCUCAAUUUGGAGUUCAUAACAUAUGGAAUGUGAUUCUGACUAAUGAUUGAACUGGAACUCCUUAUUUUGGAACUGGAAGAGUACGUAAAUUUCUAUCAUAUGCAUGAACAUGAACCAUGAUCUGGAACUGAAACGUAAGGCAUGAGUAGGUAUUGGGAUAACUGAAAAAUACUGAGAUAAGAAUGGGUUGAGCCUCACCCUCAUUUUUUGAUGUUCUAUAUCAUACUGGCAUCACUACUAGAAUCUGAGAGCCUAACUUGGUUAUUCGUCCUCUCAUCUCCCCCUUAGCUUCAAGUCAUCAUCUUAAGUUUGAGCGAUAUCUUUCUAGACUUUAAACUGAACUACACUUACUGCACUUUAGGUUCUGAAAAAUGACCAUACACACACAUCAUAGAACUUAACCCGAAUGACUACACCUAAAAGUGGAAAACCCACUGUUAAUACUACCUUUUGAGGUACACUCUAUCUUUUUAUAGCCAUCAAUGGUCAUCAUAUAGUACUUGAACACUUACUAAUUUCGAAUCUUCAUGAAUAUCCCCCUAGUUGAAGUGCACAUCCUCUAGUGUUUCUACUUUUAUUUCUAUUAGUGCAACCCUCAACUCAAACUUAGAUUCCAACACUUAACAUGGACAUCACCAAGACUUUGAUCAACCAUGCUUCUUUCGCCAUAGCCUACCAAUAUCGCGACACCAAACUUAUAUCACUCUACCAUGAGGAUCAAGAUCAUAUCAAAAGGCUCCACACUAUCAGUCAAAACCCCUUAACUUGGCCAUUUAGAACACCAUGUACCAUCUAACUAGUCUUUCUCCACCUAGCAACUCAAUGGUACCACUAGCCACAUACAACAUGAAAUAGCCUUAGAGAAAAUACCGCAACCACAUAUCACCUUGGGCAUACGUUUUACCUCAUACAUACAAUAUCAAACUUCAUUAUUAAUCAAAUAAACUUAAUCUAUUGCAUACACUGUUCAAGCCUAUUAGAUCACUUCCAUAAAACUAGCAUCAUUAACCAAGAAAUCAUCGCAUCCACCUUCAUGGACACCAACUAAUCAAACUUAAUGUCUAGUGCUAAACAUGAUUUACACCCCAACCUAACAUGUAAUUCUCACAAACAUUCAUCAUUAAUCUUAAGCCACAAUUCUUACAUCCACAUUCUACAUUAAAUUCAAGCCUAUAGUCUAACGUCAACCAUUUACCACCAAUGAAGAAUGCAACAUAAUAUACUAGUCCAUCAAAUUGGGACAUUCUAUCUAAAUACCUCGAAAAAGCUACUAGUUUACAACUAUCAACGAAAAAAAGGUCGUAAUCUCAUAUCAUAACCCCAUACAAUCUUAUCUACUUAUACGGAUUUCUCACAUCACACUUACUUACCAAAGCAUACAUUUAGACUAUCUUCAAAUUCCACAACAACCAUGAGUCUAUAAUUAUAACCUACUGGCUCAUCUAGCCAUUUUCAUAAUUCAAGCAUACAACAAUUCACCUUAACUAAUAACUCCUCCUCUACCUUCUACUAAACUAACACACAAGGACGUAUCACUUCAUUACCAACUCAAUAUCAUGUGAAAAGAUUCGGCUAUACAUAUAUUCAACCAACACAAGAACAACAAGUUGCUAGUGAAUCGAAAAAGGCCUCACACGGUUUUACUAGACUUUGAUUUUUUUGUGUUUUGAACAAGAAAAUAAGAUGAAUGACAAAGAAACUAUGCUAGUGAAUCGAAAGAGCACCACAUGGCUUCACUAGACUUUGAGUUUCAAUAACACAAUGAGAACAAGAUUUCAAGAGAUCAAAACUUGACACACAAUAAUCAAGGAUCUAAGAAUACAUAUCUUACUCUAUAUGAAUAAAAAAAAUUUGAGUCAAACACUCCCCCCACAGACUACCAUACAAUCCACACAUGCUACUAGCUACCACAUUAGUCUAUUACUAUAAAGGGGUAGAUCAUCCUCAAAUAUUGGUUAUUCAACUAAAAUAUUUAUUUACACAAAAGUCACCCUCACUCUAACUUCUAAAUUUGUGACUUCACAUCACCAACUUCUUGGUCCAGCAUUACUACCAACAGGUCAUGACACCGACACUUAACUUAUACUACUACUCGGGCAGUUCGAACAUUAUGCUACACAUCAUCCCCCUGAAGCGUGACAUCUGUAACAUAAAUUCUGAAAAGGACUGAAUACACUUAAUACUGUAUGCUGAAAAGCACGAUCUCAUCAGAAUCAAAGUUCACGCUAGAAUCGAUACACUCUGAAUUACUAACGGACUCUUCUUAAGCCCUUGCACAAUUUUAAAAUCUUAUAUGGCUCAAUUAGAAAGGACCAGACCAUUUAGACUCUAAACUUCUGAACUUGAAUCGCCCCAAUAAUGAGACAUAUCUAAGAACAUUAAAGUAAGGAAAGAAUUAGGAUAACUUCACUUUCGUAUGGGAGACACCAUAGCAUGAAUUAUAGUAUGAAAGAGGAACAUUCUGACUCUAUAGCAUGAACUCAAACAUGAAGAAAGGGAGACAUUCCUAAAUUCCUAUAGCCUCCUUCUUAUAAGUGUGGCACGCUACGCACCCAUAAAUAAUAUCCUAGCCAACAUGAUUUUGCAGACACCCUGGGACCAUGAACCUGUCUCUGAUACCAAGUUUGUCACGACCCAAACUAGGGCCUGGCCAUGACAGAUAUCCCAAACCAUGAAGGCUCGGAACGCCCUUCUCUAUCUGGUAAUCAUGCACAACAUUCAUAUAAUAAAAGAAAAUGUAGAAAUAUAAUCGAAUAUGAAAACAUGGUCAUACUCUGAAUUUAAUUUAACAAUGAAGGAUGAAACCCCAAUAUCAAUAAAAUAAUAUAUGAACCAGUCUGCGAAAUCUCUACUAUAUCUGAAAAACAACUAUCUAAAAAUUGGGACAAGGCCCCAGUAGAUCAAAACCAUAAUAAGUAACAUAAUCUGAAAGACAUAGGCCUUCUGAAAUAAAGAAGGUUCACCAACUGCACACAUCACUACUGUAUGGAAACUCUAUGGCUUAGCAGGACCUUAGAAAUGAACUUUAGAUCCUGGGAGGUAGGGGGUCAAUACAAAUAUACUGGUAUGCUGAGCAAAUUUAAAAUAAUAAUUUUUAUUCAACAUAUAUGAGAGCAAUUUAAAAUAGUUCAUAAAUAUAUCAUAUAGUAAGAAAUCUCAUGGGCAUUUUCAAAAGACUCAGUAAAAUCAUCUGAACUCUGCGACACUCUUUGUUUUACUUCUGCGCUAAGUGGUAUACCUUACAAUUCUGUAAUUUCAUGGGCUAUAUGGAAUUUACUAUUAACAUAGCAGCCAAACCCCCAACCCAAAUGUGCCGCAAGGGUUGGAGUCUCUGAAUCUACUAUACCACACGGUCGUCGUCAGCGUACCACAAUAAUCUGCCUGUAUCGGCAAAUACAGUUUUAGGCUAAGAGUUACUUGAACUCAAGCAUUCUUUGGGUAACCACCUAACCCUCUUUAUGCCUCUUUGUAAUUCUUUAAAAUAUGCAUUCUCUCAAAACAUAUUCUGAAAACACUCUCUGAAGACAUACUCUGAAAACAUACUAUGAAAACAUACUCUGUUAUGGCAUACAUACUUAUGGUAUCGUCAUACCAUUGACUUGCAAGUCACAUCUAUUAGCCAUUAUUAGCAUAUUAGAAUCUAUGUUUCCAAAAUAUAAAUUUGAGGCCACCAUAUCAAUAAAUUAGUUCGAAGCACCCUUUCCUUAAAUACUCAUGUAAACAUAUGUAUGCAACUCUCUUUGACAACAUUUCAAAUGAUACAAGGUGGUCAUGUUAAAAUUCUUCAUCUUGUGCAAAUUUUUCUCUCUUUAACAAAAAACAUUUAUAUCAAGAAACUCCCUCUCAAAAUCUCUAAAUCAUGCUCAAAAUACUAUGGUAUUUCAGUAAACAAUUUUCAAGCUAUGAAUCAUGCAUAUCAAAUCAUUCCCAAUAAGAUCACAAAUUUAAAGUCAUCACAAGAGAGGGAUGUCAUAAUUUAUGCUCUCAAACAAUCUUCAAAUCUGAAUUUUUCAUACAUAUACACAUACAUGUAAGUCAAUUUAAGGGGAAAGGCCUAAGGGCCAAAUCAAUAAUGCAUUUGAACAUUUAUAUUGCAUAAUAAAAUCAUGUAUUUCAAAACCCCUUUCUAAAUUUAUGCUUGAAAAUCUUUAAAUCAUGUUCUAGUGUUUUCAAGCCCAUGUAGUUUUUAGGAUAAACCCCAAGUAUCUUAAAUUAUAAGAUCUGAAAGAUGGAACCUAGAUCUUGAUAGAUGAAACCUAGAUCUUGAUUUGUUUCUUGGAGAUCUUGAACUUAAGGCUUGAUUUUCUGGAAUUUCUUGUUCUUGGAGAAAACCCUAAUUUGAUCUAAUUUUGAGAGUGAAAGGGAAGUUUUUGAUGUUGUAAAACCAAUAAUGAUUGAUUAAUAACAUUUAAGGGAUGAUUUAAUUCGUGUGAAAGGUUUUAGUAGUGAGGGAAAGACCAAAAUACCCCUACGAAAUCACUUCCAAGUUGCUGAAAUUCUCAGCUGACGACCAAGGCUGAUAAGCCGUCAGAUCUGUGAUAACCCGUCAGCCCAGGUCAUCACCUAGGACCUGAAAUUGAUGGGUUUCUUCCUAAGGCUGAUGACAUAUUCUGACAAGUCGUCAGAUUUCUGAUAAGCCAUCAGAAUUAUCGUCGCUCAGUUGCCAGGCUGAUAUGCUGGAGUAAAAUGGACAAAACUUUUUGUUCCGAUUUUGAAUUUUUACAAAAUUAUUGGCGUUGGAAAGAAAACUCAAUGAAAUUUCAUUUGAUAUAUAGUAGGCCCCUCAGUUCGUCAUAUACGAUGAGUUAUGGUUGAUUGAAUUUGAUCAAAGUUUUGACUCUCACUAAAACUUGAACGAUAGGAAAGCUUUCAACUAGUCCUUAAGUUAAGGGACCUCUAUGAUUUGGACUCAUGCCAAACUAGAUUCACACACUACAUAAAAUAAUACCACACUAUAUUUGCAUUAUAUUUAUGGCUUUUGGAACAUCUACGCGUAGAAAUGAUGGUUUUCAUUCUAGCCCGAAAUGCGGGGUAUUACACUAUGUUAUUGUCGUUACAAUAUUGGCUUGAAAAUUGCUCAUAGUCAAUAUCGGCAGGGCCAUAGCUGAACUAAAUUUAUAUUUAUAUUAGCACAUAAACUUGCCUCAUGGCUAUGCCGCCAGAGAGACACAACGCAAACUAUACCCUCAAAAAAAUAGAAGCUGACGGGUUCAAGUCAUUAAAACAACCUUUAACAGCAAAUGUAGGUAAGACCGUAUAUAGUAGUCCAUUAUGGUUCAACCCUUUUUCCCAGAAUUUCCCUGUGCUUAUAAAGUUUCCUAACACUGAAUCUUGAUAAUAAAUGUUCACAUAACAAUUUUGUUUUCAUAAACAGCUGAAUUUUUUUAAAAAUCAAGUGCGAGCCUCGAAAACAUAACUAAUGAAUUAUGCAUAAAUGGGACCUUUAACUUAGCACCAGCUGGAAUCUAUAUUAUCCAAGACAUACUGUAAUAUGUUCAUAGACAAGAUCACUAGUAGGAUAAGGACUGUAACACUCAAUUCUGUAUUGUUUUUGUUGGAAAUUGCUUAAGUUACUGCACUAGUUUUUUAGCAAAAUAAGUUAGUUAAUUUGGGACGAAUUUGAAUUUUGAAUUUAAGUUAGGUUGUUUGAUUUGUUGAGACAUUUUAGUUAGUUUAAAUUUAGAAUAUUGCUGAUUUUUCUAUUGUAAGGUGGCUAUUUAAAGCCCCUUGAUGUUCAAUAAAAUUAUUGAAUACUAUUGAAUGCUAUUGAAAGUUAUUCAAUUCUUUGAGAGCCAUUUUAACCCUAUUUUUGUUGCCCCACCUUCUUUUAAAAAAACCAACAGUGGUAUCAAGAGCCUCAUUGAUCUUACGGGAUUUGUGCGUUCUUCCAAAGUGCUACCAUACCAUUUUUAACCCUCAAGGGCUAUCUUUUAAACCGGCAAGGCUACCUUUUUAACCCGUAAGGGCUCCAUUUUAAUCCAUCAGGGCUACCUUUUUCAACCCGUGCUUAUUUUCAAAGCAUAGGGCUAUUUUAAGCCAAAAAGUUGUCAAGCAGUAGUCUAUCUUUGAAUGCCCUAAAAAUUUUCACAGACAAAAAUGAUCAAAUUUGUUCUGCAAAGAAAUUAUAUUUUGAAACCUAUGCUUUAUGUGAUGUUUUGAUGAAUGAAAAAUCCUUACAACAUUUUGCAAAGUCUAUGAAAGUAUUUUCAAACAACAUAAGAUUGUUGAUGGUUUUUCAGCAAAGAAUGAAAAGAAAAAAGAGAAAGAUGAACAUCAAAAAGAUGUGCAAGUUCAAAAAAAAUUGAAAAAUUCAGCAUCCAUUGCCAGAGCAAAAAUUGAGGAGGAGUAGCUUUUAAAUCACAGUAACUAAAGCAAAGGAGGCGUGUUGGAAAUUGCUUAAGUUGCUGCACUAGUUUUUUAGCAACAUAAGUUAGUUAAUUUAGGAUGAAUUUGAAUUUUGAAUUUAAGUUAGGUUGUUUUAUCUGUUGAAACAUUUUAGUUAGUUUAAAUUUUGAAUGUUGCUGAUUUUUCUAUUGUAAGGUGGGUAUUUAAAGCCCCUUGAUGUUCAAUAAAAUAAUUGAAUACUAUUGAAUGCUAUUGAAAGUUAUUCAAUCCUUUGAGAGCCAUUUUAACCCCCUUUUCGCUGCCCCAUCUUCUUUUAAAAAAAACAACAGUUUUCUAUCUAUAAUUUUUGAGCUGUAGUAUUUGUUCAAACAAAAUGAAUCCCAUGCCACUAGAUUGAUCUUUCUCUUCUCCUCAUUACCUUAAGAGUGUAUUGAAGGAGGUAGCUAACAGGUGCAAAUGAUUCUAAUCGGGGAGGUAAUGAGGAGAAGAGAAAGAUCAAUCUAGUGGCAUGGGAUUCAUUUUGUUUGCCUAAAUGUAAUGGUGGUUUAAGUAUCAAGGAUAGCAGGCUUUGGAAUUUGUCUGUUGUUGGUGAACCGUUGUGGCAAAUUGUGGUGGAUAAAACUUCUUUGAGGGUGAAAUGGGUGCGUCGCAUUUAUAUAAAAAACGCACAAUAUGGCGUCAACUCACAUCUAUGACCUCCAACUUUGGAUGUGCACAAGUAGACACUUAAACCUUUAUAAAGUUAAACAAGUAGACACAUACUUCCUAUGUGGCAUCCUACUCAGCCAAUUCUUGUCCUAUAUGGCGUCCUACAUGUAUUAUGCCACAUAGGACGUGUGUGUGUGUCAUUCAACUUUAUAGAAGUUUAAGUGUCUACUUAUUUACACAAAAUUUGAGGUCAUAGUUGUGAUUUGAGGCCAAGUUAAAGGGCAUGUUUAUGUAUUAUGCCUAUAAAAAAUGACCCUACUUUCUGGGAACAUAGACGACCUCAAGAUUGCAGUUGGUACUGGAAGAAACUGAAUUCGUUGAAGGGUGAAAUGUCAUCUUUGUAUACACAAGGACAGUACAAUCUUACUAGUAUGGGGGAGAUAUUCUAUAACGAGUAGCUACAUGGCUCUGCUGGGAACUCAAAGGAGAUCGAUUGGGUUCUGCUAACUUGAUAUGGAACUCGGUAUCUCAACCAAAGCUUAGGUUUAUUGCAUGAUUAGAAGCUAAAGAGAGAUUACUCAACUAAAAGUAGACUAAUCAGACUCAAACAUUCAGGUACAUGAUGUGACGACAUGAUGUUUGCUCAGGACAGAAAACUCAAAUCAAAUCAAAUUCGUCCAGUUUGAGAUGCCUUAAUUGCAUUAGUACCCAAAUUUUCUCAAGACAGAAAACUAUACUCAUGCCACCAAAAACAAAAUGUGUGUCCUUGGAACUUCAAUCAUAUGUUGAGGGAACUUAUGCCUUUCUGUUAAAUUCUUCUUUCGAAUAAAUAGAUCGCAGAAAUCAAUUCAAGAAUAUGAGUUACUCCAUUACUUCUUCCGAAUAUCAUUGGGAUCCCCAAGAAUAUACCAUCAAACAUACACAAUAAAUAUUAAACCAAGAAACUAAAGUAUAAACUAAAUCAUCAUCCAUUUCCCAAAACAUAAAUUUCUCCAUGAAGGAGGAAAAGUACAUCACAGUAAGAAUUAAGAAGCUAGAAGUCAUUACAACAUAGAAAUUUAUCGAAUAAAACUACCACUAUUGAAUAGAAACCGAUUGAAUGCUCUUGUUGCUCCUCCUCUCCUUGUCUUCUUUCUUCCAAAGGCUGCUCCAAGAGUCCACGAUACUUAGUUGAGAUAAACCCUUCUUCUUAUGUUGUAAAAUUUCCCACUUUUUACUUUGUGUCUUAGUAUAACAAAGCAACAUAAAUUAGAAAUCUAAAAUCUUCCAAUUACAAUCAAAUCAUGUCAAUUAAAGUCUAGAAACAUCAAGAAUAUUUAGUGAUACGGGAAUUCCUAGGUCGAGACCUUUCACAUGAAACCAAGCACGUGAGUUGCAACGACUCCAAGCCUUGUUCACAUUCUUGGCCAUGUGUGAGGCCCUUGUGAGCCCAUCUAAGGGCCUAUAUUUAAUAAAAUGUGAAGAGGCCCACCAAGACACCCCAAAACCACCCACUUAAAUGCCAAGGGUAUUUUGGUCUUUGUCCCUCCUUUCUAAGUGACUAUAUAAGCCAUGUAAUAGGGCUAGUCUUGCUUUAGUUCAUUCCUAUUAUUCAAGAAACAAAAGACUUGUAAAUUUUUUACUUCUCUUUCUCAUUUAGAGAGGCCAAAACCGAAUUCUCACUAGUAGAGUGAUACUAGUGCUGUAUCUUGGAUAGAAACUAGGUUCUUCGGGUUCUUUGAGUUCCUCUUGGUCCAAGUAAGAACUUUGUAUUGAUAUUUAUUAGUCUUAGGGUCCUUUCUCUUGUUAGAGUUCUUAGAUUAGUGAAUAUUGUGUGUCAAGUUUCUAUCUCUUUCUUUGUAAAUCUUGUUAACAUUGUGUUAUUGAAUAUAAAAGUCUAGUGAAGCCGUGUGGGGCUCUUUUGAUUCACUAGCAAUAUUGUCUUUGUUGUUCUUGUUGUCAAACUCACUUUUCUAGUUCACACAAGUGUUGCAAGCCUAGUGAAGCCGUGUGUGGCCAUUUUCGAUUCACUAGAACUUUGUUGUUCAUCUUGUUGUUCUUGUGUUGGUUGGAAUCUCUUGAUACACACUUAGCAUUGUAUCAUUUAGCUCAUGAGUACAUCAUUAUAUAUAUUUUUAAAAUGACAUUAAAAGACGAUUUCUAACACUGAAUCUUGGAAGUAACAUAUAUUUUUUUUUCAUAAACAAUCUUUUUUUUUUAAACUCAAGAGGAAGCCUCCAAAACAACACAAUUGUUGGUGCACAUAUCCUUGCACCUAUAAUUUUAGUCUGUUCAGACAUUAUAAUAAAUCAUUUUGCACAAGACCGUAAUGCUUCAAAUGCAAAAAAAUGAGCUACCAAUCCAAAUAAGGAAAUGAGAAACGGAGUGUAACCUUGAUAAUUAUAUACUUACGUGGAUUGUAGAUACGAACAUCCACUGGGUUGUUUCCGAGGUCUUCUUGUUCUUUUUGAAUUCGUGCAGCAGAUUCGCCAAGUUCUGGAACAAAACUUGUUAACUCAAUCAAUUGUAGUGAGUGGAUAUAUGCAAACUCAAUGGGUAUCUCCUUCAAAUUAUGGAAUUCGCUGAUGAUACAAGUCAAAUGGCUGCCUUAGCUUUCAAUGACAUCAUUCAAAGUUACUACAUGAAGAAUCAAGCUUUGGUCGCAUGGAGGGAAUGGUAUCAUACUUGGAGGGGUCUUCUUGAGCAUGCCAUUAAACAAACCCGAGUGUGGAAGAUUGCUUGGAGCCUUGAUAACUUGAGGACCCUCGGGUUUGGGCCAUACUUGGUGGUUCACGGUUUUGGUCAUUUAGACUUGUCUAAAUGACACCCCAUGGCCACCCCACCUCAUUAAGGGCAUUGGAGUUAUUUUAUCUUUCUUUUGUAAGAUACUAUAUAUAGUUUUGAAUGAUGAAUGUAUGAAACACUUGAAAAUCCUCUCUCUUGAGCGUAGACCACCUUAGUAUAGUCUUAGUUAGGGCUUGGAAAAGUCAUCCUUAGUAUAGGGCUUGGAAAAGCCAAUAUUGACCUUUGCUUGGAAAUGGUGGAUCUUGAGGUGAGUUGAUUCCCUUGGCGGUCACUGUAAGAGUGUGGUUUUGAUUAUUACAUUCAUUAGGGGUUAGUGUUGAAAUACACUUGGUUCUUAAUCUUAUAAUAAUCUUGGUCUCACUAUCUAUCUUUAUUUUCUAUGCAUUUUCUCUUGUGUUUGUGUUGAAUCUGUGUCUUGUUUCAUCUUGUGUCAUUGUUAUCAUCUUCAUCUCCUUUCUUUAGUUAUAGUUUCAGUUUCUAGCUUUGUUUUCCACAUCAGCUAAGCAUGAGGCGCUCAAGGUCAGGAAAAUUGUCAUCUGUCGCUUUCCAGUACUUGACAUCAUUAUCUUCAAUUAACAAAAGCUUCAAUCGUGUAAAUCCCUGAACAUUUGGAUGCCAUUCUUUGCCUUCACAAGCAUUAUACAUCAGCUUCAGCACCUCAAGGUUAGGUAACUCAGCUAUGAUGUCCAAGUAUGACCAAUCUAAAUAAGUUCUUUCCAACUUCAACUUCUUGAGCGUGGCUGGAAAAGCUUUUGCACUGGUCACUGACAAAAGGAGACAAGUACAUCCUAUAAAACUCAAUAUUUCAAGUUGCUGCAGAUAGAUAAGAUUGUUGAGAAGCGCUAAGUCCCAAAGAUUGUCUCCACUGAAUCCUAAUUUUUUAACAGUCUGAAUCCCCGAAAUAACCUCCUUUGUGCAACAACUGGAAGACAAGUAAGGAAUAGUUUGUAUGUUUGGAAACCCCAUGUGACUGCCUUUGUCAACACAUACGGUUGGGCGAUUUGGCAGAUAAAUUAUGCCCGCUUUGAGAUGCCGUAAUUGCUUUAGUCCCCAAAUUUCCUCAGGAAAAGUUGUUUUAACUGAUCCACUAGGUCCUUGAACGAUGAAUGUCUGCAGAUUCCAUAACCUACAAAUUUCUGGAGGUAUGUCUAAAUUCUCACGGCAGCUCAAUGAUAGGUACCUCAACCAGAUGAGGCUUAGUAUCUGUACAGGGAAAACUCGAAAAAUCACGCUGUCUCUCAAAUCCAUGACUUUGAGUAAUUUGGAAGGAGUAAGCCAUGAUUGGCGAAUAAAAAUUGGAAAAUAACGACAAGAAAUACUAACAGGUUCUGAACAAACAUUUCCCCUUUGAACUUCUCUCAAGCACAGGUCAUAUAUUAGAUCCUGAACCUUACAUGAUCUAAUUUUUUAUUAUUAUUAUUAUUGACAAUAUUUUAUUAAAAUAUUUUACUAAUAACGUUAUUAACAAUAUUUUAAUAAUAUUAUUUGAACCUUUAAUUGCUUCUAUCAAUAUACCACUACUACUACGACUAAUUAUUAUUAUUAUUAUUAUUAUUAUUAUUAUUAUUAUUANNNNNNNNNNNNNNNNNNNNNNNNNNNNNNNNNNNNNNNNNNAAUAUUUUAAUAAAAUUUUCAUCUUAACAACGUUUUAUUAACGUUAAUUUAAUAUACUUCUAUUACUGCCCUUAAUAACGUUUUAUUAAUAACGUUUUAAUAACGUUAAUUUAAUAUAUUACUACCACUAUCCUUAAUAAUGUUUUAUUAAUAACGUUUUAGUAACGUUAAUUUAAUAAUAUUUUAAUAACGUUAAUUUAAUAACUUUAAUUUAAUAACGUUUUAUUAAAACUAUAAUUUUUUUAUUUAUUAUUAGUAUAGUUUCACCUUUGAGAUGAAAAUAAUGAGAAAAUAAUAGUGAAAAGUCACUUAAAUAUAUAAAAAGUAAUUAUUAAGGGCAUAAUAGUCAUUUUACCCUUUUUUUACGGUUGGAACGCUCAAAUUUUUAGCCUGACGUGCCUAGUUUUGCGUGCACAACACGCGUUUCACAUAGGAUCAGAGAUCAUAUUUGUAAAGUUUAGAAUAGUUAAAGGUCAUAUUUGUGCACUAUCAAAGUUUAAUAUCAAAGUUAUAAUUUGGUCGGGUCAUAUUUAUGUACUAUGCCUUUCUAAAUUAGUUCCGAUCUUGUAAGUAGGUGAUGAUAUAAUAUACAGGUUUCCAUAUAUAUACUUAUGUGACUAACGAUGCCGGUAACAUGUUAUAAGUGAGUUCUUCAAGCAUUCUUUUCUUUUCCUUGUCACGCCCAACCAUAUUGUUCGAAACUUCCAGAUUAGAUAAUUUUUCCAAGCUCCUAUCUCGUGCCAAGGACCAUGUCGAUGCUUGUCUACCUUUAUUAUCUUGAAUCUUUUUCGACUCUUCUUGGGCACGGUCAAUGUCCUUCGCUACUUGUUGCAAUAUCUUUUAUCUGCUCAUCCAAAUCUGUCAUUGCCCCAUAACUACUGAUUUGUUUCUCGGAGUUCUUGAGAAAUGCUUCUAUAUAAGUCACUUUCUUAUGAAGAGCUACAAUGUCUUCUCUGUGAUAAAAAGCAACUGAUAUUAUUGGCGAAUCAGACGUCAACAGCAGUUCCAUUGUUCUUAUAAGAGAUGCUAUACUCGCGUAGGCCAUCGAUUCUCCUGCUUCCAAAAUGCGAUAACGACUUGAAAGCUGCAAGUUAUACGAGCCCGAUAGUGUUAAAAUAACAUGAUUCACAAAGUUGCAAAAACAGUGAGGUAAGAAAUUAAGAAAUCAGGCAACUUCAGUCUGCACUCUUCACUAUCGUAUCUGUUACAGACUUUAUGUCUACUUCAUAUUCAUGUCUGCAUCACCUAAUUCACUACACUUGAUUCGACACUUCAGAAAUAUGAAGAACCAACUUCAUCGGUCCAAGAAAACGUUGCACAGAUAGUGGAAGAGGAGCUGUAUGAUGUUCAUAGGUCUCUAUUAGCCAGUUGCGAGGGCCAAUACGACAAGGACUUGGUUGAAUGAUAGAUGGCCAAAAAAAAGAGGCUGAUACCAAACUCCUCAAGAACACAACAACACAAACACCAAAAUCAGUCCACUAGUUCAAGAACUAUGGACCCUUUUGAUGACCUCUCUCGGAUUCACAAGAAGAACAAGAAGGGAAGUGAUAUCAAGAGUAAAACACACUAAAACAGCAACAACACUUGAUGAACAAGAUGCAAUAACAACAACACACGGUUACAAGACAAGAACACAAAUGGAUUACAAAGAUAUAGACAAACGAUUACAAGAAAGUAAAGAUAGAUAGAUAGACAAAGGGAUGGUAUAAUAUAAACAACCCAAAAGCUUAUUCCACUUUUGGACCUUUAAUAUCACACACAACCUAAACCUAUCUCUUACGUGACCUCAAGGGAACCGGAAUUCCCAAGAAAUCUCCGUUUCUAAGCAAAUGAUCAACACAAGGAUUCCACCUUGUCCAAGGAUUCCACCUUGCUAAAGACUCUCAAAGAGGCUACAAAAUAUAUUCUCCAAAAAUCUCCCAAAAAUGACCUAAUGAGGUUCUAUUUAUACCUAGGUUAACUUAUUACAAAUGACUAAAAAACCCUUGCAAAGGUUGGAUGAAUAGUGAACGCGGAAGCAUUGUGAAACAGUUUUGGAGCUUGUGGGACUUGUUCUCUACACUUCAAAGCUUGUUCCUUGGAUGGGAAGCCCCUCGAGCUCGAGUCUUGACGCAUUGGACCCCGAUCAUGAUCAUACCCGUAUCAUCCUCCCCUCCUUAGAAAGGAUUGGUCCUCGAAUCUGAACCUUUCAAAGCAAUGGAAGGACAAGCAAACAAAAGUUCCGCAAGGUAUGAGGGUUAGGAUUAGUGUAAUCAAUCAUAGCAUCUUGCCAAGGUGGCUCAAACUUCACAUAUACCCAAACAUCCCUCUUACCCGAAUACCCUACCAAGGGAGAAUCAACUAAUUUAUCCACAUAAGUCUAACAAGAAACAAGAAACAAGAAACAAGAAACAAGCGUAGCUUAUCAAGUGAAAAACAUAGACACUUUUUGGAACAACAAUUAGACUUGAAAGCAGAGAGAGGAAAGCCAUACACUCCAUACACAUUCAAGUCAUUCCAAAAGACAUCCUUAUCACCACACUUCAAAUGAUCACCGGAAUCAAAUAGGUAGAGUGUCCAUGGGCACGGGUUGGGAAUACAUUUCCUUACCCCAAUACUACUAUAAUAAUGAUCAAAUGUCCCCUCUAUACUAUCAUGGUCAAUAACAAAAACAACUAGAGGGUCAUCCUUAGUCAUUCGGCCAACAUGUUCAACAUCAUAAUUUUUGCACAAAAGUUGGUCUUCAUGACAUCCAUAAGGCAAUGUACUACAACUUUCCACCAUGGCUUCAACACUAGGUGAAUCAACUAGUGUAUCCACAAUCUCAAGUUGUACAUUAUCAUCAGAAAAUGAAGGCACAUUCGGCUCACUUAAAGACAAAUUAUCAUUCACACUUAGUUAACUAUUAUCCUCAUUCACUAGAGUGCAAAAGUUAGUUUGAUUACCUUGUAGCUCAUGUGGAGCAUGGCCACUCAUGGGAAUUGAUUAGGAAGGCUUGGAUGCUCCAUCAAGUUAUCCAACUUCUUGCACAGAGAGCCUUCCGUCUCUUCUAAUCUUUCUUCCAUUCUGUCCAUUAUUUACCUAUCUAUGGCAUCAAACCUUGCCAUGAUGGAUUUAACCCAACUAGGCAUUUCAUCUUCAUUCGCCACUGUACCCAUCAAGAGCUACUAAGCAAACAACACGAAAACAAUAAACACAUUAAAGAUUAGCAAAAAUCAGUCCACGAUUCGUCACAAAACAGUCCACAAUGUGUCUCAAAAUAGUCUACAAUCCCUAUGCAACACCCCGUAAAAGUCGUGCAUGGAUUAGCCUUUAAUAGAGUGUCCUUAGACUUGAAAAUUUUUCUAAGUGUAAUGAGGACUUAGAGUCAUUUUAGCUGGCAAUCUUCGGGAUACAACUUUUCAACCUUUCCGACAUCCGUUUUUAGAUUUUCAAGUUGCGUUAUGAUCGAGAAAGCUCAUAGUACAUCUCGGAUAAGUUUUGGAAUUUUUUGGAACGCAUAAGGCUGCCUUUGGAUUUCAAAACAGUAGCAAAACGCAUAGCCUAUUGCCCAGUUUUCAGCAUUUCAGGGUCAACUUCAAAUGAUCAUUAACUCCCUGUAUAUAAUGAACUGUGUGAGCUAUAAUAUAUCAAACGAAAGAUAUUUGAGUACUCUUUCAAAUUCAGUUGGUUUCAUCCAAUUUGAGUAUAUGAGUAUAAAGUUAUAAUCUAUUUACUCCAGCCUAUCAAACUGUCAACUGAGGGACAGAUUUGGCCUUAAUUGUUCCUUAGGGGUAUUUUGGUCAUCCUCCACCCCUAUAUAUACCACCAACACGGGAUUUAAUCCCUCAAACAACAUAAUACACAUGAUUUCCCCAAAAUUGCUCAAGAACUCUCCUUAGGAUUUCAAAAUAAAAACCCAAAUAGUUCAAGAUUUGGCCGUAGGUUUUCAGAGAUAAUUACAUAUUUGGAUUCAUCAAUCCGCAAGCUUCAAGAAACACCUAUUAUCCUUGGAAAUAGAGGUACGUGGGGUUAUCCAAAAAUCUCAUGGGUGUAUUCUUUAUGAACAUGCAUGCUUUUAAAUGGGGGUUUUCAAUCAAAUGCUAAUAUCUUNNNNNNNNNNNNNNNNNNNNNNNNNNNNNNNNNNNNNNNNNNNNNNNNNNNNNNNNNNNNNNNNNNNNNNNNNNNNNNNNNNNNNNNNNNNNNNNNNNNNNNNNNNNNNNNNNNNNNNNNNNNNNNNNNNNNNNNNNNNNNNNNNNNNNNNNNNNNNNNNNNNNNNNNNNNNNNNNNNNNNNNNNNNNNNNNNNNNNNNNNNNNNNNAUUGAAUAAGAUGAAAUUUGAAUGCAUUGAUUUUACAUGAGAAAGGGGGAUGCCCGAAUAAGGCGUUUGAGACACAAGUGGCUCAUCGCUGGAAGAACAUGUUUGCCAACACGGAAUAUCGGUACCAUACUUUGUGGUCUUGCGUACCUGAUAUUAUAUUAUCUCAAAUUAGGAUUAUGGUUAGGAGCCAUGCUUUGUGGUCUUGUAUACUACCAUAUUUGAUUUGGGUCGAGACACCAUGCUUUGUGGUCUUGUGUGUCUCUCCCUCACUUAUACUCUAAUCUUGGCGGCAACCGGGGUUUGACAGUUGGUGUAAAUUAUGUAGGGUAUUCCACCUAGCUCAGUUGCAUUUCAUUAUUGUUGAGAAAAAUUAUUGCAUUACACCCAUGUGCUUUCAAAUGAUUUGAUACGAAAUUGAUUUAUAAUGGCUCUCAACUAUAUAUUGUAAAAAUAUUAUGUUUUGUUUUGAUAUCUCUGCGUGCCAGUACUUUUGUGCUGACUCUCUCCCCUCUCCAACCUCUCAGGUUCAGAGGCCCAGUCUAGGGGUCAAGAGAAUCAGUAGAUCAUUCAGACAGAGUUGCAGAGACAAGUGGUGAGCCUUCUGUGUUUCAGAAGGUCUUAUGUCCUACAGUCCUUUUAUCUUAUAUUAGUUUUGGGUCUGCUGGGGGCCUUGGCCCAGUUUUCAGAUAGACAUUGUUUCACUCAUGUAGUAGAGAUUUCGCAGACGGUUUUAGAGAUUUUGAUUUAGAUUGUGGGGCACUAUUCCCCAUUUUCAUUUUCAUAUGAUUCCUGGCCAUGUUUCUGUUAUAUUUUGUUUUUCCGCAUUUCUUUGAUCAUAUGAAUUAGGUGCAUGAUUACUAGAUAGAUAGGGGUGUUUCAGGCCUCAAUGGUUCGAAAUCCUUGUCACGGCCAGGCCCUGGUUUGGGUCAUGACACCCUCUCUUUCACACUUUGGAUUUUUCACUCUAUUGGUCUUACAAGUGUUGAUAACUCGCUUAUACUCCAAUGAGGUUACUUGAUCCCAAUUGUGGCUCGAGUUUCGAGUAGAUUCUUGUUUGAAACGACUCAAAUAAGUAAUGUACGAACUUGAACCAAAAAAGAUACUAUGACUCUAAAAAGAGAAAAGCACACAACAAACAACGUUAACACGAAGAACGUACACAAAACUAACUUACAAUCUAGUAUGGUAUUACUAGGUUGUCAAUUAGUGUCGAGCAAACAAACAAAACUAGGAAACAAUAAAAUGAAACUAAGAAAUAUAAAAUUUAAACUCAAAAAUAUUGCGUGAAUAGUACUUUAGUGAUGUGGCAGUCCACUAUUGGCCUCGAGUCUUAUCAAAAUUUUAUUUUCCAAUUUCAAGUCUUAAUCAAUAUAAAAUUUGGAAUUGGUGGAUUUGGUUAAUGGAGAGAAAAGUGGUCUUGGAACCUUUUUGUACAAAUUUCAAAAGCAAAACUUGACUUUUUUGAACUUUCUCCUUGAAACAAGGUCCUUAAAUCAAGGAAACGUAGAUGAAAAGUCUUUGAAGUGAUAGGGACAAGUCAUUCACUAUCAACUACUACAAGAUUGUCUUUCACCUUUUUAGAUCUAGUUUGUACUUUAAGGAUUAACAAGAUGAUGAAAGGGUGAAGAACCUUAAGAAAACAACAACAACUCCAAGAACAACAACAAUUUCAGUUUGCAACUCCACUACAACAAAACCAUCAAAUCAGACAACGUUUAGCUAACAACAACAUCCAACUCGGCCACUCCUUGUUCACAUCAACAACUUUAACAAGUUCAAGUUCAAUCAUAGAUUUGGACACUUUUUAGUGUUGAUGAGAAGGAGACCAACACUAGAAACACUCUAAAAAAAUAAAAGACUACAAGUUCUAGACACACAACAAACAAAUCUUGGCCAAGAUAACAACAACAUAAUUUUUGGCCAAGAACACAAAAUGGACAGAUUUGCACUUUGAAAUUUCUUUUCAGUUUUUAGCUUCUUUUUUUUUUUGAAUUUUGUCCAAGAGAACCCAAGAUUGGUAGUGUAGGAACAGAACCAGCCUUGCUUUGAUACCAAAUGAUAUCAAACUCCACAAGAAUAUGACAACACAAACACCAAAAUCAGUCCACUAGUUCAAGAACUAUGGACCCUUUUGAUGACCUCUCUCGGAUUCGCAAGAAGAACAAGAAGGGAAGUGAUAUCAAGAGUAAAACACACUAAAACAGCAACAACACUUGAUGAACAAGAUGCAAUAACAAAAACACACGGUUACAAGACAAGAACACAAACGGAUUACAUAGAUAUAGACAAACGAUUACAAGAAAGUAAAGAUAGAUAGAUAGACAAAGGAAUGGUAUAAUAUUAACAACCCAAAAUCUUAUUCCACUUUUGGACCUUUAAUAUCACACACAACCUAAACCAAUCUCUUACGUGACCUCAAGAGAACCAGAAUUCCCAAGAAAUCUCCAUUUCUAAAAAAAUGAUCAACACAAGGAUUCCACCUUGUCCAAGGAUUCCACCUUGCUAAAGACUCUCAAAGAUGCUACAAAAUAUAUUCUCCAAAAAUCUCCCAAAAAUGACCUAAUGAGGUUCUGAUACGAGUACGAUCACGAUAAUGGAAACUUUUUGAGUAUUUUGAAGACCACCUAAAGAGUGAACAAGUAUAAGUGUGAACGAGGCCCAAAACCAUCCCAAGCAUACUCCAUGGGCUAUUUUUGGAGCCCUUUUUAAUAAAGGGCCUUUUAGUCUUUUGUCCUUUAUUUUGUAAUAUAAUAUAAAUUGAACAUUAUAGGGUUUUAGUUGGUAGUUUUUAUGAAUGUUGAAGAAAGAAUACUCCUCUUAAAGAGAGAGAGUCCACAACCGAAACUAGGGCAUAGCAUAAGGGUGAAUUCUCUUGUGUGUUGCAUUUUUCUUGAUACGUUGGUGCUUGGGUAGUGGACGCCUAUUUUAAGUCAAUUGUAAGAGUUAGGUGUUUUUUGUGUGAAGUGUUAAAGUUCCAAGAGUAGAAUAUGCUCUUGGGUUGUUAAGACUACAUCAACACUUGUCUAACUAGCUAUCUUAUAUCUUGUUUUAGUUUCAGCUUCUUGUGUUGUUAAUGUAACCCAUUUGUUCUUGUUGCUAUUGUAAUAUUGUGGAGCUUCAUCUUGUGUUGCUAAACUUGCUGUUGGCUGGCUGUUUUGGUGUAUUAACACCUUGUAUCUUCUUCCUUAUUGUUCUAGAUAGUGAAUCCGAGAGAGGUCCCCAUUUGGUCCAUGAUUUGUUGUGAUUUGUGGACUGUUUUGGGGUGUGAUUUCAUGUUCCCUUGUUUGUUUAGUAUCAUUUGGUAUCAAAGAAAGGCUGGUUUUUGUUUCCACAAAGCCAAUCUUGGGUUUGAUUAUUUAAAAAAAAUUAAUAAAAACUGAAAAAUUCCAGAAAAUAGCAAUCGUCCAUUUUAGUGUUCUUGGUAAAAAAUUGUAUUGUGUUGUUGUCUUGGCCGAGAUUUUCUUAUUUUUCUUGACUAGAUCUUGCAGUUCUUUUGUUAUUCUAGUGUGUUUCUAGUGUUGGUUCUUUCUCACAAACACUAAAAGUGUCUAGAUCUAAAGGUUGAGCUUAUAAUAUUAACAUUGUUGUUGUGAACUUGAAGUGGCCAUGUGUUGAUCCUUAUUAUUGAAGGUUGGUGUUGUUGUUGUUGAGUUCUUGAGCUUCAAAUUGUGUUAUUAUUGUGAAUUGGUGGCUUAAAAACCUCUUGUUGAAGUUGUUGUUGAAAGAUGGAACUUGACAAAGUGUUGAUUGAAAUGUAAGACCAACUUGAACCUUAGACUCCAAGAUUCAAAAGUUUGUGUUCUUGGUGUUCUUCACCAAUCAUCAUCUUUUAUUGAAAAAAAAAGUGGAUGUUAGAUCUAAGAGGGUGAAGGAAGGAGGUGUAGUAUUUGUUAGUCAUCAAAGACUUUUACCACUACUUCCAACCACUCAAAGACUUCAGAACCAUUUUCCAACCAACUUCCACGUUUUGAGGGCCUUAUUUUAAGGGAAAAUACUACAAAAGUCCAAGUCUUCAAACUUGAGUUGAAAAAGAGUUCCAAGACUUAUUCUUUCCCUCCUUACAUAAUACCACCAAUCCAGAUCAAAAAUUGGUCAAGACUUGAACCUUGGACAAUAAAACUUGAUAAAAUCGUGACCAAUUGAGGGUUGCCACGUCAUCACAUAUUAGUGUUCACCAACAAUUUUUAAGCUCAAAUUUUAGAUUUCUUAGUUUUAUUUUAUUGUUUCUUUAGUUUCGUUUGUUGAUUCCAUUACUAACUUACAAGCUAGUACUAGAAUGUAAGUUAGUUUUGAAAUCGUUCUUCGUGUAUACGUUCCUUUGUGUGUCUUAUUCUCUUGACUCGUUGUAAUACUUGGUCCACCUCUCAAUGCCUCAUGGAGUACAAGAAAAGUUAUGAAACUUGUGAGAUCAAAGUGUGAAAAAUCCAACAGACAAAACAAUAGAGAGGGAGUGUGAGGAUCAUUCUUUUACAACUAACUUGUUCGUUGUUUUGUAGGUAACUUUUGGCCAUAAUGGAAACCAUUUUUGCCCUCCUUGAUGCUUUGUCCCGAGAUCUUUCUAUGGCAAAUGUGGGUCUUGAAAAAAUUGACUCGGAUAUGGUAACUAUGAGUGAGAGAUUGGAUCAAAUGGUAAGUCGAUGGAACUCUCAUGAUUUUACUCCCGAAACUUUACUUCCAAUGACCAAUUCUCUAAGACCACCACAUAAUGCCACAAUCCAAGCUCCAAAUAGCCCUCAAAACCGAGAAUAAGAUAGACCACUUCCCCCACAAGUUGAUCUAGUCCGACAAGGAGGACCUGGAAGCAAAUUUUCUCCCAUCCAAACUCCACAACCGAAACCCCACUUAACCAAAGCAAGCUUCUUAACCGAAGCUCCACUACACCAAACCCGACAUAUCCAUAUAGAGAAGAAUGGUAGAAAGGAACAUGAAGGAUAUGGGGUCUUCGACAAUGCUUAUAUGAUGGUAGGAGACUUGUUUUGCAUGAGAUUAAAGACAAGGCUCAAGAUGGAGAGGAAGCCGAUGUUCAAAAUAAAGAUGUUAGCCAAGACUUAUUCUCAUUGUAUCCUCGGGUUCCCUUUGUUUUGUUUUGCGGACUGUUUUGGGUAGUUUCUUUUGGAGGGCCAAUUGCACGAGGUAAAGCCAUGAAUUUGUGGUCAAAUUCCUCUCAAGAUGGAGAGUAUGAUACAAGUACAAUCACGAUCAUGGACACUUUUUGAGUAUUUUGAAGACCACCUAAAGAGUGCACAAGUAUAAUUGUGAAGGAGGCCCAAAACCGUCCCAAACACACUCCAUGGGCUGUUUUUGGAGCCCUUUUCAUUAAAGGGUCUUUUAGUCUUUUUUCUUUUAUUUUGUAAUAUAAUAUAAAUUGAACAUUAUAGGAUUUUAGUUGGUAGAUUUUAUGAAUGUUGAAGAAAGAACACUCCUUUUAGAGAAAGAGAGUCCACAACCAAAACUAGGGCAUAGCAUAAGGGUGGAUUCUCUUGUGUGUUGCAUUUUUCUUGAUACGUUGGUGCUUGGGUAGUGGACGCCUCUUUUAUUUCAGUUGAAAGAGUUAGGUAUUUUUUGUGUGAAGUGUUAAAGUUUCAAGAGUAUAAUAUGCUCUUAGGUUGUUAAGACUACAUCAACACUUGUCUAACUAUCUAUCUUGUAUCCUGUUUUAGUUUCAGCUUCUUGUAUUGUUAAUGUAAUCCAUUAGUUCUUGUUGCUAUUCUAAUAUUGUGGAGCUUCAUCUUGUAUUGCUAAACUUGUUGUUGGUUGGCUGUUUUGGUGUAUUAACACCUUGUAUCUUCUUCCUUAUUGUUCUAGAUAGUGAAUCCGAGAGAGGUCCCCAUUUGGUCCACGAUUUGUUGUGAUUUGUGGACUGUUUUGGGGUGUGAUUUCAUGUUCCCUUGUUUGUUCUGUAUCAUUUGGUAUCAAAUCAAGGAUGGUUUUUGUUUCCACAAAUCCAAUCUUGGGUUUGAUUAUUUAAAAAAAUUUAAUAAAAACUGAAAAAUUCCAGAAAAUAGCAAUCAUCCAUUUUUGUGUUCUUGGUCAAAAAUUGUGUUGUGUUGUUGUCUUGGCCGAGAUUUUCUUAUUUUUAUUGUCUAGAUCUUGUAGUUCUUUUGUUAUUCUAGUGUGUUUCUAGUGUUAGUUCUUUCUCACCAACACUAAAAGUGUCUAGAUCUAAAGGUUGAGCUUAUAAUAUUGACAUUGUUUUUGUGAACUUGAAGUGGCUAUGUGUUGAUCCUUAUUAUUGAAGGUUGGUGUUGUUGUUGUUGAGUUCUUGAUCUUGAACUUGUGUUAUUAUUUUGAAUUGGUGGCUUAAGAACCUCUUGUUGAAGUUGUUGUUGAAAGGUGGAACUUGACAAAGUGUUGAUUGAAAUGUAAGACCAACUUGAACCUUAGACUCCAAGAUUCAAAAGUUUGUGUUCUUGGUGUUCUUCACCAAUCUUCAUCUUUUAUUGAAAGAAAAAAGUGGAUGUUAGAUCUAAGAGGGUGAAGGAAGGAGGUGUAGUAUUUGUUAGUCAUCAAUGACUUUUACCACUACUUCCAACCACUCAAAGACUUCACAACCAUUUUCCAACUAACUUCCAUGUUUUGAGGGCCUUGUUUUAAGGGAAAAUACUACAAAAGUCCAAGUCUUCAAACUUGAGUUGAAAAAGAGUUCCAAGACUUAUUCUUUCCCUCCUUAAACAAUUCCACCAAUCCAGAUCAAAAAUUGGUCAAGACUUGAACCUUGGACAAUAAAACUUGACAAAAUCGUGACCAAUUGAGGGUUGCCACGUCAUCACAUUUUUAGUGUUCACCAACAAUUUUUAAGUUCAAAUUUUAGAUUUCUUAGUUUUAUUUUAUUGUUUCUUUAGUUUCGUUUGUUGAUUCCAUUACUAACUUACAAGAUAGUACUAGAAUGUAAGUUAGUUUUGAAAUCGUUCUUCGUGUAUACAUUCCUUUGUGCGUCUUAUUCUCUUGAAUCGUUGUAAUACUUGGUCCACCUCUCAAGGCCUCAUGGAGUACAAGCAAGGUUAUGAAACUUGUGAGAUCAAAGUGUGAAAAAUCCGACAGACAAAACAAUAGAGAGGGAGUGUGAGGAUCAUUCUUGUACAACUAACUUGUUUGUUGUUUUGUAGGUAACUUUUGGCGAUAAUGGAAACCAUUUUUGCCCUCCUUGAUGCUUUGUCCCGAGAUCUUUCUAUGGCAAAUGUGGGUCUUGAAAAAAUUGACUCGGAUAUGGUAACUAUGAGUGAGAGAUUGGAUCGAAUGGUUAGUCGAAGGAACUCUCAUGAUUUUACUCCCGAAACUUUACUUCCAGUGACCAAUUCUCUAAGACCACCACAUAAUGCCACAAUCCAAGCUCCAAAUAGCCCUCAAAACCGAGAAUAAGAUAGACCACUUCCCCCGCAAGUUGAUCAAGUCCAACAAGGAGGACUUGGAAGCAAAUUUCCUCCCAUCCAAACUCCACAACCGAAACCCCACUUAACCAAAGCAAGCCUCUUAACCGAAGCUCCACUACACCAAACAUGAGAUGUCCAUAUAAAGAAGAAUGGUAGAAAGGAACAUGAAGGAUAUGGGGUCUACAAAAAUGCUUAUAUGAUGGUAGGAGACUUGUUUUGGAUAAGGUUAAAGACAAGGCUCAAGAUGGAGAGGAAGCCGAUGUUCAAAAUGAAGAUGUUAGCCAAGACUUGUUCUCAUUGUAUCCUCGGGUUCCCUUUGUUUUGUUUUGCGGACUGUUUUGGGUGGUUUCUUUUGGAAUGCCAAUUGCACGAGGUGAAUGCAUGAAUUUGUGGUCAAAUUCCUAUCAAGAUGGAGAGGAUGAUACAAGUACGAUCAUGCUCAUGGACACUUUUUGAGUAUUUUGAAGAACACCUAAAGAGUGCACAAGUACAAGUGUGAAGGAGGCCCAAAACCGUCCCAAACAUACUCCAUGAGCUAUUUUUGGAGCCCUUUUCAUUAAAGGGUCUUUUAGUCUUUUGUCUGUUGUUUUGUAAUAUAAUAUAAAUUGAACAUUAUAGGAUUUUAGUUGGUAGUUUUUAUGAAUGUUGAAGAAAGAACACUCCUCUUAGAGAGAGAGAGUCCACAACCGAAACUAGGGCAUAGCAUAAGAGUAGAUUCUCUUAUGUGUUGCAUUUUGCUUGAUUCGUUGGUGCUUGGGUGGUGGACGCCUCUCUUGUGUCAAUUGUAAAAGUUAGCUGUAUGUUGUGUGAAGUGUUAAAGGUCCAAGAGUAGAAUAUGCUCUUGGGUUGUUACGACUACAUCAACACUUGUCUAACUGUCUAUUUUGUAUCUUCUUUUAGUUUCGGCUUCUUGUGUUGUUAAUGUAACCCAUUUGUUCUUGUUGCUAUUGUAAUAUUGUGGAGCUUCAUCUUGUGUUGGUAAACUUGUUGUUGGCUGGCUGUUUUGGUGUAUUAACACCUUGUAUCUUCUUCUUUCUUGUUCUAGAUAAUGAAUCCGAGAGAGGUCCCAUUUGAUCUACGAUUUUUGUGAUUUGUGGACAAUUUUGGGGUGUGAUUUCGUGUUCCCUUGUUUGUUUUGUAUCAGUUUCUAUUUAUAACUAGGUUAACUUAUUACAAAUGACUAAAAAACUCUUGCAAAGGGCGGAUGAACAGUGAACGCGGAUGAACAGUGAAACAGUUUUGGAGCUUGUAGGACUUGUUUCUACACUUCAAAGCUUGUUCCUUGGAUGGGCAGCCCUCCGAGCUCAAGUCUUGACGCAUUGGACCCCGAUCAUUGAUCUUACCCGUAUCAUAGGCACAGAAGUGGACAAAGUCGAGGAGAACUCCUGGCAUUCUAUGAGUGGAUAGAUCGCAUACGCUGGACAGCCCUAGUGUCCAGUCUAGCUUGCACACACCUCGACUAAUUCCACUAAGUUCCUUCAACCUCCCACGAACGCGGGUACCAGAUAACUCUGUCCCCGAAGGCUUUGACAUAUAGGAAGAAAUCUCCUAGUGUUUUUUGCCUCUCACUUGGAUUUAGAACUAUACCUCAUGGUUCUCGACUCAUUUCAUUGACCACUGGGCCAUACCCUCGUAUGGGUGCCAAUGUUAUUUCGAUGGACUUAGAUUGAUGUGAGAGACCAGGAUGUUACAAUUGGAGCUGUUGACACUAACAGGUACUGCAUAUUUUUAAUGGAUCCGAGCAACAUAGGUUAUAAAAGAAGUGAAUCUAUAAGUACCAACCGGUACUACAAUAAAUACUUUCAAGGAGAAAAAUAUACUAAAUACACAUGAAUAUAAGUUUCAAACAACAAAUUAAUGAAGAAAGGGCAGGCCAGAGAACUAAAGCUACCGCUAUGCGCGGUGUCCGGGGAAGGGCCCCACCACAAGGGUGUAUCGUAUGCCGCCUUACCUUGCAUUUCUGCCAGAGGCUGUUUCCAAGGCUAGAAGCCGUGACAUGACAACAACUUUACCUGUUAUUCCAAGGCUCCCCUUCCAUGAAACAUAAAAGAAAUAACAAAUAAGUUCUAUUUAUGAUAAUAUAGAAUGGAAAAAAAGAGUUGACUUUAAAGAAAUGGGAUGACAACUCCAAUAAGUUGACCUUGGAUUUGUGUCUAUCAAGGAAAAUAUAAUAUUAUAACACCUGUUUUUUAACCUCUCCCCCUUGUAUUUUACCACAUAGUUACUGCCACAGGUAGAAAGCAUCUCGAGAGAAUCAUACAGGAAUAUAUGUAGAGGGAUCCUUUAACAAAUAUUAAACCAAUUAAACUAAAUCAUCAUCCAGUUCCCACAAUAAAAAUUGUUUCAUGAAGGAUAAAAAGUACACCACAACUUAGAAGACAUUACAACAUAAAUUCAUCGAAUCAAACUCCCAUAUUGGAUAGAAACCGAUUGAAUACUCUUGUUGCUCGUCCUCUCCUUGUCUUCUUUUUUCCAAAAGCUGCUCGAAGAAUCCAGGAUACUUAGUCGAGAUCAAGCCUUCUCACUCUAGCGUCUUGCUAUAACAAAGAAAUAUAAAUUAGAAAUAUAAAAUCUCCCAUUUACAAUCAAAUCAUGUCAAUUAAAGCAUAGAAAUAUCAAGAGGAAUUGUUUAAGUAUACAUUUUUACAUUAGUGAUAUAUAUGUUAGAGGAAUUGUUACAAAGAAAUCAACAAACUAGAAAAUAAAAUUGCAAAGAGAACACCUCGAAAUGUUAGUUCAUAUUAAAUUUUCUUUUUCACAAUUCAAUAAAAUUUACUCCACUAUAUCAAAAAUAAAUGUUAAUAAUACUUGUCCAUUUUGAAACCGAUGGAUAAUUUACCCAUUUUACCCUUAGCAUUAAAUACGAUUCAUUAUCCAAUGUGUUUUUCAAAGCAUUAGAUUUAGUAGAUUCAAAGGGUAAUAUGGUAAAACUAGCCCUAUCAUUUACUAUUUCUUAGUGGACAACUAUUGAUAGACGAAGGUAGUAACAAUUAGACCAAAUGUGCUCACAUUUAGAAAGCUUAAACUAAAGUACCAAAAUUGCUCAAAAAUAUAUUAAAGGGGACAUUUUGAACUUCCUUCAAAUAUAAGAGAUAUUCUUGUUAAUUUCUGUUACAUUUUAAGUAGAGUAUUAACCAAAUUUUGUCAAGGUUAUUUUUGUGUAAGAAUAUGGGGUAAAGCUAAAUAACUUUUGCGUAUGACUUGACUUGUGGAAAUGAGAAACAGAGUGUGACCCAGAUAAAUACUAUAUACUUACGUGGAUUGGAGAUACGAACAUCCACGGGGUUGUUUCCAAUGUCUUCUUGUUCUUGUUGAAUUCGUGCAGCAGAUUCCCCAAGUUCGGGAAGAUAACUUGUUAACUCAAUCAGUUGUAGUGUGUGUAUUUCUGCAAACUCAACGGGUAUCUCUUUUAAAUUAUGGCAUUUGUUAAGCACAAGGCGCUCAAGGAUAGGAAAAUUGUCAUUUGUGGCUUUCCAGUGUUAGCCCAUAUGUUAUUGGGCCUUUAGUUUAUGGACCUUUAGGUUAUUGGCUAUGUAUAUAUAUAGCCUACUUUUGUUUUAGUUAUUUUUCAUGCUUUUCAGAUUAUAUUGUAAACCUUAGCCUUUCUUUCUUUCAAUAAAGUUCUAUUAACAUGGUAUCAGAGCUAGUUUGAUCCAUGUCCUUUGAUUUGUUGGUUGAAGAUUUUGUAGCAGGCACCUACUGCGCGGAUCGAACUGUCAUUGUUCGUCUUUCGUUCUUUUGCUUGCUGCCAUUGUUGUUCGUUCGGAAUUGUUCAACCUAGGGUUUUGCAUCUUUUUGUUUUUUUGAAUUGUUUGUGUGUUGCUGUGUUUACAAUGACUGGAAAGGAUGAUUCUCUCCAGUCCAUUAGUACUCAAUUAGAUGGUAAGAACUAUGCCUAUUGGAGUUAUGUCAUGAAGAAUUUUCUUCGUGGGAAGAAUAUGUGGGGUUAUAUCACUGGAGUAAAACUAAGACCUAUCGAUGAUAAAACUGAAAAUUUUGAUUUGUUGGUGGACUUAUGGGAAACUAAUAACUCCAAGAUUAUCACUUGGAUCAACAAUUCUGUAACUCAGUCAAUUGGUAUGCAAUUGGCUAAGUAUGACACAGCAAAGGAGGUCUGGGAUCAUUUGGAAAGACUGUACACUCAGUCUAAUUUUGCUAAGCAGUACCAGUUGGAGUAUGAUAUCCGUGCUCUUCAACAGCAUGAUCUCAGUAUUCAAGAUUUUUAUGCUGCCAUGUCGGAUUUGUGGGAUCAAUUGGCACUUACUGAAUCUGCAGAGUUAAAAGGUUUUGGGCCGUACAUUGCUAGACGGGAAGAGCAACGCUUGGUUCAGUUUUUGAUGGCACUACGUUCUGACUUUGAGGGCCUACGUGGAACAAUCCUUCAUCGAUCUCCCCUCCCUACUGUUGAUUCUGUGGUUCAUGAACUGAUUGCAGAGGAGACUCGUAUCAAGUCUCAAGUGGAUAAAGGGUCUAAAGUAACUACUACUCCUGUCGUGUUUGCUGCUUCAACUGAUCAGUCUAGGCCACCACGUACUCAGACUCGACAAUCUCCUAAAGUUGCAUUUGAUGAGUGUGCAUUCUGCAAACAGAAAAAUCAUUGGAAGGCUCAGUGUCCGUUGUUACUUAACAAGGUCAAACAGCCUCAAUCUGGGCAGCAACAGAAAUAUGGGCAGCAAAAGUCUCCGUCACGCUCCUCUGGUGCUCCUCCAUGGUCAUCUCGUCCUCCACAGUUCGCUGCUGCUGCACCAUCUGUAGAUGUUGAGUCUGUUAGCACUAUGCCACCUUCUGCGUUGGAUCCCCAGGUUUUCGAACAGUUCAGACAGUUCUUCGUUUCUAAUCCUACGGCCAUGUCAGCAUCUAUGUCUCAUUCGGGUUCAGUUUCUUCUAGUACCUCAGGUAUUCCUUCCUCCUUGUGGAUAUUGGAUUCUGGUGCGUCUCAUCACAUGUCCCCUCAUUUGUCAUCGUUUGGUUCUUUGUCACCCAUUUCACCAAUCUCUGUUAUGUCCGCGAGUGCUGUACCUAUGUCAGUCGAGGGUGUUGGUUCUGUUACUACCCCUCACAUUGUCCUCUCUGAUGUUUAUUACAUUCCCAAACUUGCUUUAAAUCUUGUUUCGGUCAGUCAGUUGUGUAAGGCUGGUAAUUGGGUGUUUUUUUCUGAUUCUGUUUGUGUUAUACAGGACCAACACACUCAGAGGGUGAUUGGGACCGGCCGUAGGUUGGGGGAACUCUAUGUCUUGGAGAAUCUCAAAGUGUCUGUAGUUGCUGCCUCUAGCAUAGAUUUAUCUUCUUUUCGUUUGAGUCCUUUGUCUUCUCAGUUUUAUCUUUGGCAUUCCAGAUUAGGACAUGUGUCAGUUUCACGUUUACGUUUUUUGGUCUCUAGUGGUGCUUUGGGUCAUGUGAACACUAGUGAUAUUUCAGAUUGUAGUGGUUGUAAACUGGCAAAAUUUUCUGCCUUACCGUUUAAUAAAAGUGUGUCUUAUUCUGUUGCUCCUUUUGAUAUUAUUCAUUCUGAUGUAUGGGGACCAGCGCCAGUAUCCACUAAGGGUGGAUCGACCUAUUAUGUUUCGUUUAUAGAUGACUAUACUCGUUAUACCUGGGUGUAUCUUAUGAAACGCAGAUCUGAUUUCUUUGGCAUUUACAACAACUUUAGAGCCCUUGUUAAAACACAACAUUCGGCUGUGAUAAAGUGUUUCAGGUGUGACUUAGGGGGUGAAUAUACCUCUAAUGACUUCACUCAGUUACUUGCCUCUGAUGGUACCAUACACCAGUCAUCUUGUACCGACACUCCUGAGCAGAACGGUCUGGCAGAAAGAAAACAUCGUCAUAUUGUUGAGACAGCACGCUCUUUACUUUUGUCUGCAGAGGUUCCUAGUAUUUUUUGGGGAGAAGCAGUUCUAACUGCUGUAUAUGUGAUUAAUCGUAUUCCUACUGCAUUGACUUCAGGGAUGUCUCCGUUUGAGAAACUAUAUGGUCACCCGCCGAAUUAUUCUGCAUUACGAGUUUUUGGAUGUACUUGCUUUGUUCUUCGUCCUCAUGUUGAACGAAAUAAGUUAGGGUCAAAAUCAGCUAUAUGUGUGUUUUUGGGGUAUGGUAUUGGACAAAAAGGAUAUCGUUGCUAUGAUCCUGUAAGUCAGAAAUUAUAUGUUUCACGACAUGUCACUUUUUUGGAACAUAUUCCUUUUUAUUCCAUUCCAGCUAAAACCCAUGAUGUGACAAAGUCAGAUAUUCGGCUUAUUGAUCCCUUUGGGAUUGACAUAGAGGUUCCAGUUCCGGAUUCAUCCAUGCCAUCUGGUGUGCCACCUGAUAGUGCUUCAGCCUCGCCUGUGCCUGAGUCUGCUCCUUCGACUGUUGAGACUGGAGACCCACCACCUCUGAGGAGGUCUACUCGACCUUGUAAGUCCACCAAACUGCCAGAUUUUUACUAUUCUACAUAUUCAGCCUCAUUUGCUUCCUUUAUUGCAAACAUACAUCAUUUGUCUGAACCUGAGUCGUAUAGAGAGGCUGUGUCUGAUCCUCUUUGGCAGAAUGCUAUGGCUGAGGAACUUGCUGCUCUUCAUCAUACACAUACAUGGGAUUUGGUUACUCUCCCACCUGGUAAGCAUGCGAUUGGUUGUCGAUGGGUGUAUAAGAUAAAAACAAAAUCUGAUGGGUCUGUUGAGCGAUACAAGGCAAGACUUGUGGCAAAAGGGUACUCACAAAAAUAUGGUAUGGAUUAUGAGGAGACUUUUUCCCCCGUAGCAAAGAUGACGACUGUUCGCACUAUGAUUGCUGUUGCAUCCGUUCGACAGUGGCAGAUAUUUCAGAUGGAUGUCAAGAAUGCUUUUCUGAAUGGUGAUCUCCACGAGGAAGUUUAUAUGACUCCUCCCCCAGGUAUUGACCACCAGCCAGGUGAAGUUUGUCGGCUUCGAAAAGCUUUAUACGGUCUCAAACAAGCCCCUCGUGCUUGGUUUGAGAAAUUCUCCACUGUUAUUACUUCCCUUGGAUUUGUCCCGAGUAACCAUGAUUCAGCAUUGUUUGUUAGAUGUACAAGUGCAGGGCGAAUUCUAUUGUCCUUAUAUGUAGAUGAUAUGAUUAAUACUGGUGAUGAUCAUAGUGGUAUUGAGUUAUUGAAGCAUGAUUUGGCUCAUCGAUUUGCAAUGAAGGACUUGGGCUUGCUGCGUUAUUUUCUGGGUAUUGAGGUGGCUCAGUCUAAGAAAGGGUAUCUUCUUUCUCAGACUAAGUAUAUAUCUGACUUGUUUACACGGGCGCGUCUUUCUGACAACAGGACUGUAGAUACUCCCCUUGAAACCAAUGCACGUUACUCUCCUAGUGUAAGACUCAUGUAGCUUAUAAGUGGAGUCUUUUGUAAAAUGUUGUGAUGAUGAAUGAAUGAAAAGCUACUGCUCAAACCUUCCUUUUUUCUACUCUUAAGCUCCAAAUUAUAACAGUGGUAUCAGAGCCGAUCUUCUUGAGGCAUCUGUGAAGGCUUAAAGAUAAGUUUUUUUCAGAUCUUCUAAAAAAAAGAGACCUGAACAGCAGCAUGGCAUCCAACAGCUUCUUGGGUGCAGGUCCUCUUACGUUUACAGGAUAAAAUUAUCGCAUAUGGGUCAUAAAGAUGAAGGCUUAUCUUAAAGCUCUUAGUCUAUGGGAAGCAGUUGAAAGUGAAAAUGAUCCCCCUCCAUUGGGACCAAAUCCAACUGUUGCACAAAUGAAGAAUUAUGAAGAUGCAAAGUCCAAGAAACCAAAGGCUCUUACUUGUCUUCAUUCAGCACUUUUAGAUGUGAUUUUCACAAAAAUAAUGGCUUGUGAAACACCUAAAGAAGUAUGGGAGAAGCUAAAUGAGGAGUUUGAUGGAAGUGAAAGAGUGAAAUCUGUCAAACUCUUAACUCUCAAAAAAGAAUUUGAGAUGUUAAGGAUGAAAGAAGGAGAUACCGUGAAGGAGUACUCUGCCAAACUUCUGAAAAUUGUAAAAAAAAUAAGAUUAUUUGGUGAAACUUUUCCAGAUUCAAAGGUGGUGGAGAAGAUGAUGAUAAUAUUACCAUCAAGGUUCGAGUCCAAUAUUUCAGCAAUAGAGGAAUCUUGUGAUUUGAAGACUUUGUCUGUCGCAGAGCUGAUUAGCAAAUUGCAAGCCCAAGAACAAAGAACAAGUAUAAGAGAUGAAGAAGUAGAAGAAAUGGCAUUUCAAGCAAAGCACAAAGACAAGCAACCUGUGAAGGACAAUAGGAGAAUGGAAGGAGAUAAAGCGGCAAAGAAAAAGUCAUGGACUAAAUCUUCACAGAAAGGAAAGUUUCCACCUUGCCUCCACUGUAAAAGAACCAAUCAUCAAGAAAAGGAUUGUUGGUUCAAAGGAAAGCCAUCAAUUCAGUGCAGAUUUUGUAGAAAAAUGGGUCAUAUUGAGAAGAAUUCAGGGCAAAGAAGAAUCAGCCACAACAACAUGUUCAUGUUCAGCAGGAAAAUUUCACUGAAGAGUCAGAAAAGGAAGAAAGCUUGUGACGCUCAUGAAGAAAAAAAAUUCAACCAAUCCAAAUGGUUCCUAGAUAGUGGGUGCACGAGUCACAUGUCAUAUAAUGAGCUUAUGUUUCACACACUUGACAAGUCACUUAAAGCUAAAGUUAGGAUGGAAAUGGUGCAACAUUAGAAGCACAUGGAAAGGGUUCAGUUUCCUUUCAAACUAAACAAGGUACAAAGCUUAUACAUAAUGUGUUGUAUGUUUAUUCUUUAGCAUGUAAGCUGUUGAGUGUUGGCCAAAUGAUGUCUAAAGGCUACUCCUUACUUUUUAAGGGAAAGCAUUGUUUGAUCUUUGAUAUUGAUGAUACUUUGAUUGACAAAGUAGAAAUGGUAGAUAGGAUCUUUCCAGUUGAUGGAAAGUUUGAUAGUGCCAAUUUUUGUAAAAUUAGAUGAUUCAUGGCUAUGGCACAGAAGAUAUGGGAAUUUUAACUAUGCUACUUUAAAAUCUAUGUAUGAGAAGGGCUUGACUAAGGAUUUACCUGAGAUCUUAGUUUCUAUAGAAGUAUGUGGGUCAUGUCAGAUAGGAAAGGUUCACAGGAAAUCAUUUCCUAAAAGUGCUUCAUGGAGGGUAACUGAAAAGCUUGAACUUAUUCACACUGUAUGUGGACCUAUGAAGACAUCAUCCCUGGGUCAAAAUAAAUAUUUUCAGUUUUUCAUUGAUGACUUCACAAGGAUGACUUAGGUGUAUUUUGUCAGUAACAAAUCUCAAGUAUUUUCAGUUUUCAAGAAGUUUAAAGCUUCCGCUGAAAGACAGAGUGGCUACAAACUGAAGGCUUUAAGGUCAGACAAUGGAGGUGAAUAUACUUCAAAUGAGUUCAACAAGUAUUGUGAAGAUGCAGGGAUUAAUCACAAGCUGACAGUAAGUUAUUCACCAGAACAAAAUAGAGUCUCGGAGAGGAAAAACAGGACGGUAGUUGAAAUGGCUAGAUAUUUGGUGCUUGAAAAGAAACUACCACAAAAUUUUUGGGCAAAAGUUGUUUCUACUUCAGUUUAUUUGUUGAAUAGGCUUCCAACCAAAGCUAUGGAUGGUAAAACUCCUAUUGAGGUAUGGAAUGGAAAAAGGUCAUCUGCCAAUCACGUAAAAAUCUUUGGUUCAAUAUGCUAUUCUCAUGUUCCUUCAGUGAGAAGAAGCAAGCUUGAACUGAAAGGUGAAUUGGGGAUCUUUAUUGGUUAUUCAUUGCAAGCCAAAGGUUAUAGAGUUUUCAACUUGCAAACAAAAGGCAUUUCCAUCAGAACAGAUGUAGUGGUGGAUGAGUAUGCUUAUUGGAACUAGGAUAAGAAGCAAGUUGAAAAAGAAAAUGCAGAUUAUUUGAACUUGAAUCCGCUGCCUGAAAUACAACCAUUUGGCUCUGAAAAUCUAGAAGAAGCUGAAGAAUCAAACGGUGAAUCCUCACUUGAUUCGCCAAUUGUGAAGACAAGGUCCUUUCUGAGAUAUAUGAAAGAUGCAAUGUUUCAAUCAUGGAACCCAAUAUCUAUCAAGAAGCAUCAAAACAUGAAUUUUGAAUUGAAGCCAUGAAGGAGGAGAUUGGUAUCAUAGAGAAGAAUGACACUUGAAAGCUGGUUGAUAAGCCCAAGACAGAAAUGUAAUAGGUGUGAAAUGGGUUUAUAGAACCAAAAUUAAUCUAGAUGGUUCAGUUAAUAAACACAAAGCAAGGCUUAUUGUGAAAGGUUAUGUGCAAGUUGCAAGUCUGGAUUAUGGAGACACAUUUGAACCUGUUGUAAGACAUGAUACGAUACGACUUCUAUUUACUUUGGCAGCUCAAUCAAAUUGGAAGUUGUACCAUCUGGAUGUGAAGUCGGCAUUCUUAAAUGGACCAUUGCAGGAACAAAUUUAUGUCGACCAACCGGAAGGCUUUCAAGUUGGAGGAAUGGAAGAUAAAUUUUACAGACUACAUAAGGCGUUGUAUGGAUUAAAAUAGGCUCCUCAAGCAUAGUACAGUAUGAUGAUGAUGAUGAAUGAAUGAAAAGCUACUGCUGAAACCUUCCUUUUUUCUUCUCUUAAGCUCCAAAUUAUAACAACAGAUGGGAAAAUUGUGUGAAAGGUGUAAUAUCUAAGUCAUUUCUUUUUUCACGAUGUUAUUUACCAGAGCAUCGUUAGCAUGAUGGACAGCUCACAGAUCAUGAACGAAUAGUGAAUAUUGUAUAAUUAAUGUAACUAUGUAUCGUUGUAUAUAAGUGUAAUUAUAGAUAUUUGAUUUGGUAACCAAAGAGAAUAAAUAUUGUGAUAGAAUAGCUGCGGAUUUAGAGGGAUAGAAUAGUUGAUCUUUAGGGAUAGGAAAGACGGAUCUUUAGGGAUGUAAUCUUUGAAUACUUUCUAUUUAACGACAAGACUCUCAAUAUUGAGAAUCAUUCAGCAAAAAAUUGGCAUAGUUCGUCGACAAUCAGUCCUUAACUCCUAGGACUUUUGAUCUCGAUCAUUCCGGUUUUUUUUUUCAGUCAUAGUAUUUCUAGUUUUCGCAGCUAUUCAAGAAUAUGUCUUCACAUCAAUUUGAAUCAUUCAGUGUUCGUUUCACUGGAAAAAAUUAUUCAUACAGGGAAUUGCGAUUUCAAUUAUUUGGUACCGGAUAAGAACUAUGGCGCCAUAUAGAUGGAAUCGAUCCCUAUCCCGCUGAUCCUAAAAAGUUAGGUGAAUGGAUGAUUAAAGAUGCUCGGGUGAUGACAAAUCUCUCCUUUUCCCCGUGAACCAUCUAUCUUUUUGAAAAAUUAAAAGAAAAAAGAGACCUUUAGUCUUUGUAUUUGUAUUUGUUUAUUUGAGAGAUCAGCAAAGUUGGGUCAGUGGACACUUUUAGGAUGUGAUAAUGACCACUAAUCUCCUUUUGAUAAAGUCGAAAGAAGUCAAGUGGGAACUUCAGUUUAUUCUUUGUGUUCUUUAUCAAAUGCAUCUUUAUGCAUAAUCGAAAACCUUUUGAUGAAAAUCUUGCAGAAAUAAGUGCAACUAUACUUGUCUAACAGCCGGGCUGGCCUGUUUACAGCGCGGCCCAAGACAGCACGUAGACCGGUAAGGAGGCCGGGCCAGUUAUGAUAAAAGGAAGGGGAUUGUGAAACAAGCCAUACAACUUGAGUUGAUUAGUUCAUACAUAAAACUAACUUGAGCUGAUUAGUGGACACUUUUAGGAUUUUGAGAAAUUAAGAGAUAUGGAUUAUGCUGCUAUUACUUGUCUUAAGAGAACCAUACACCAACCAAUGGAAUUGACAGCAUGUGAUUUCCAACCAUUCUACAAAAAGCUUGAAACUUUGAGAGCUAUUCUGGAGAAACCAUGGAAAGCAACAGAUGAUCUCGAGGCAUCAACAAGUUUGGAAGCUGAAAUCACUGAUAUAGCAUACACAGCAGAAGAUAUGGUUGACUCAGAAUCAAGAAAUGUUUUUUUAGCACAAAGGCCACCAUUAAAAAGUAAUGGCAUGAAUGAGCCGAUUUUGUAACGGCAAUGGCAUGAAUGAGCCAAACUCGUAACUGAUCGCAUAAAUGAGCCAUUUUUGAUAGUUCAAUGGCAUAUUUGAGCCCUUUCCCUAUAUUUCCCAAGAAACAUUGCUUUUCUCAAAGUUCUUGAGAAAUAAUUCCAGGGAGUUCUUGAGAAAUAAUUCCAGGGAGCUAUCAUUUUCUUGAAAAGCGAGAAAUUCUUCUCUGUGUUCACUAAUUAGAGAUUUCACUGGCGAAUUGGAUGUCACAACCAAUUCCGUUGUUCUGUUCAGAGAAGUCAUGCUUGCAUGAGUCAUAUCUUUACUCUCGUGUUCCUUGUGCAGUUUUUACCAGAAAACUGCGAGUUUCAAGAACUCAGCAGUAUUGCUACAUAUAAUACCAGUUUCAAAUUCUAUUAACUCAAAAAAUAAAACUAACAACACAAAGUAAUAACCAAAUCAAUAACUGAAACCAUAAUCAAGUACAUCACCAAGUCAUAAGGGCAUUUAUUAAGAGUUCAAGUUGGGAUGUGGCUAGAAAUAAUGGAAUCAGAACAAUAACAUAAAGACUCCUAGACACCACAAAACUAACAGGUUGUCUCAUCGUAUAAAAUAAUCAUCAAACUCGAUCCACGUGGUCUGCUACUACUGGAGUUGAAUUUGUAAAGUUACAUAAAAAGAGAAGGGAAGAAGGGAAUUAGUACAACAUAACCUGUAAGUCUCAUAGACCAUCACCUAAAGGCCGUGGCAAGGCUUUAUGCAUUACAGAAAAUUAAUGUGUGCCACAAAUCCUUGGAAGCCACACGUCGCUUAAAACUGAUAAUUUAGUGGUAAUUUGCGAUAGAGGAACCGAAAUGAAAUCCUAAGAGUUCAAUCCUUCUGGCCUUGAACUCCUUUCCUAAUGUUCUUCUGAAUCAGAAUAACUCUCCCCGACUGAGAAGAAACAAAAAGGGUCAGUAGAAGUUCGACAAGUCACAUUAUUCAGAUGCAGAUUUAGAACAUGUUCAAUCAAACUCACAUCUUUCAACUCAACGUCAUGUGAGCACACACAUACAUUUUUUGGAGAGCUAAAUUGCUUAUAUUACAUCUUAACUAACAAUUAUUUACUAAUUCAAAAAAUGAGCUGCAAAUAUUGAUGUAUAAUUUUAUAGACUCUAUAUAAUAUUAUUUACUCUAUAAUCUUUUUGACAAUAUUAUAUGUGUUUUUUAAAAAAAAAAAAUUAAUUUCUAUAUGGGAUAUAGACACAACACGCUUCAUAGAGACUAUAAAACCAAAGAUAUACAUUUACAUUUAUGAAUAAACAUCGUGUGACGAACUAGCAUCAACAGUCUAUAACAGUAUCAAAUUGUUAAUCCAUUGUUUCCCUUCUCAAUAUAGGUUAGAGUAAAGCAUCUAGUACCCUCCUAAACUAUGACCAAAUUUUCUACAACAUACUCCCACUUCAUGGGGUCUCUAUUACCCCCGAACAAAAUUUUAGCAUAUUUUCACCAACCUUUUUAGCUGAUGUGGCACAUUUGAUCUAACACAUCUGCAUAUUCUUCUUCAUCGUCAUCAUCUGUAUGAUGUGAGUUGUGGAAAUGAGAAACAGUGUGUAACCUUGACAAAUAUAUACUUACCUUGAUAAAAUUAAUACAAAGUAUUUCACUUAUUGAUAUUAAAUUAUUUCAUAAAAGAGUUGAAUCCAAGUAAACCUCAUUUUACUAGAAUUUACACAAUCUAUACCUUAAAUUUUGUGAGCAAGGACAACAAAGAGAGCAAACAUCUACUCUUCAUUUUUCAUUUUAUUUUUAUUGUAAUUUAAUGGCAGGGCUGGACAUUAGCCCAUUUGUUUGUUCAACCCAUCUUAAACCGCCCAACUUCAGCCCAAACAACCCAGCUGCCACCCCUAUGAGUAAAAAUUAGAUCAAAUGUGCUCAAAUUUAUCAAUCUUAAAUGAAAGUACCAAAACUACUCAAAAAUAUAUUUAAGGGGCCGUCUUGAACUACGCUCAAAUAUAAGGGAUAUUCUUGUUAAUUUCUCUUAUUUCUGUGAAAGAAUAUGGGGCAAAGCUAAAUAACUUUUGUGUACGACUUGACUUGUGGAAAUGAAAAACAGAGUGACCUUGAUAAAUACUGUAUAUAUACUUACAUGGAUCAGAGAUACAAACAUCCACAGGGUUGUUUCCGAGGUCUUCUUGUUCUUUCUGAAUUCAUGCAGCAGAUUCCCCAAGUUUGGGAGGACACUUUCUUAACUCAAUCAGCUGUAGUGUGUGUAUUGUUGAGAAUUGAUUCAAAGCCUGUUUUGUUAAGUUACUACAUAGGAUACGUUUUACUGUUAGUUGAAUAAGUCUUUCACUAGAGUUGAAAGAGUCUUUGUUAGGUUGCUAUAUUUUCAGAUUCAGUUGCUACUUUUUCUGAUAUGGUUCCUAGUUUUUAGUCAAGUAGAGUCUUGGAUCUUUUAGAGUUUGUAAGCCUAUAAAAGGCAGAGAUUUCCAGUUAAUAAAAACGCUCUUCUAAAAGAUAUUUCCUUCAUCUUCUUUGCGCAACUCUUACUUUUCUAGUUGAACAACCUCUCUUUUCCUACAUUCUGGUAUCAGAGCUUGCGUUCGGUCUCUGACUGGGCGAUAAAGAGAUUAAGAAACAGUGAGGGAGUGAAAUACAAGAAAAAGAAAAGGAGUUAUGGCAGCAAAUGGUAUGUCCUCUUCUUCACAGCCGCUCAUACCCGUCUUCAAUGGUGAAAAGUAUGAGUUUUGGAGUAUCAAGAUGAAGACUUUGUUUAGGUCUCACGAAUUGUGGGACAUAGUCGAAGAUGGGUUCGUUGAUGUACAAGAGCCGGAUGCAGAAGAAGAAAGGAGAUUAAAUGAAAUCAGAAAGUUGAACGCCAAAGCUUUGUUCUUUAUUCAGCAAGCCGUUCAUGAGACAAUGUUCUCAAGAAUUGCAGCAGCUGCUACCUCAAGAGAUGCUUGGCUGACUUUGAAAACCGAGUUUCAAGGUUCCUCAAAGGUAAUCACUGUGAAACUACAAUCUCUUCGUCGUGAUUUUGAAACAUUGUUCAUGAAAAACAGUGAAUCUGUGCAAGAUUUUUUAUCAAGAGUUAGCGGAAUUGUAAGUCAAAUGAAAUCAUAUGGUGAAGAGGUAGGCGAUGAAAUUGUAGUUUCAAAAGUUUUAAGAAGUUUACCUUCGAAAUUUGAUCAUGUGGUUGCAGCCAUAGAGGAAUCAAAAGACUUAUCUGUGUUUUUAUUUGAUCAAUUAAUGGGUUCUUCGCAAUCUCAUGAAUCACGGAUCAAUAAGUCAACAGAGAGGACUGAAGAACAAGCUUUUCAAGUGAAGGAACAGCCUCAAAUUCAGAAUGAGAAGUCACUAGAACAAGGAGUACAAGGACGUGGCAGAGGAUCUUUUAGAGGCAGAGGGCGUGGUAGAGGUAGAAGCCAAUCCAAGUGGACAAAUAGCCGUAGAAAUGGAGUGCAAUGUUACAAUUGUCACAGGUUUGGCCAUAUAGAAGCUAACUGCUGGUACAAAAAUGAUCAAGCUGGUUAUGUUGAGGAAGAGGAAGAAGAAAGCAUGCUUUUCAUGGCUCGCUCUACCACCAUAGAUCAUAAGACUGAUGUUUGGUUUGUUGAUAGUGGCUGCUCCCAUCACAUGACUGGUGACAGAAAAGGGUUUAAAGAGUUAGAUGAGACCAAAAAGAGGCGAAUUUGGCUUGGAGAUAAUAAGGAAAUUCAAGUCGAAGGUGAAGGUAUUGUUGCUGUCCAAACUAGUCAAGGUAAAGUGAAACUUAUUCAAAAUGUUUUAUUUGCUCCUAGUUUGGCACAUAACUUGCUAAGUGUUGGGCAAUUGUUGAAUAGUGGAUUCUCUGUCUUGUUUGAUGAUAGCUCAUGUGUUAUUAAGAAUAAAAAUUCAGGUCAAAUCUUAGCAAGUAUUCGUAUGACAGAGAAUAAAAUGUUUCCACUUGAAGUUUCAAAAGUCGAACAAGCCCUUGUUGUUAGUGAGAAAAAUCUUGAAGAGUCUAAGUUGUGGCAUUUGCGUUAUGGACACUUGAAUAUGAGUGGAUUGAGAUUGCUUAGUCAAAAUAAGAUGGUUCAUGGUUUGCCAAAUAUAGGACCUGUUGAAAAUGUAUGUGAAGGUUGUAUAUAUGGCAAGCAACAUAGAAAAUCUUUUCCUGUUGGAAGAUCUUUCAGAGCUACUAGUUGUCUUGAAAUUGUUCACGCAGAUUUAUGUGGUCCUAUGAACACAGAAUCACUUGCUGGUUCUCGAUAUUUUCUGUUAUUAACUGAUGAUUACAGUCGGAUGAGUUGGGUAUAUUUUUUGAAACUCAAAUCAGAAACUUUUGCAAGCUUCAAAAAAUUCAAGGCGCUGGUGGAAAACCAAGUCGGUAACAAAGUUAGGGUUCUUCGUACCGACAGAGGAGGUGAAUUCUUGUCCCAAGAAUUUAAGGUGUUUUGUGAAGAAAAUGGCAUUCACAGGGAAUUAACUGCACCUUAUACUCCGGAGCAAAAUGGGAUUGCUGAGCGGAAGAACCGAACUGUAAUGGAGAUGGCUAGGAGCAUGUUGAAGAGUAAGGAUCUUCCAAAUCAGUUUUGGGCUGAAGCUGUUCAUACUGCAGUUUAUCUGCUAAACAUUUCUCCGACAAAAGCAGUUAUGGGUCGAACACCUUUUGAAAUCUGUAAAGGUAGAAAGCCAUGGGUAAGUCAUUUGAGAAUUUUCGGUUGUAUUGCAUAUGCUUUGAUAAAUUCUCAACAUCAUAAAAAGCUUGAUGAAAAAUCUGAAAAAUGCAUUUUCUUUGGAUAUUGCUCUGAAUCCAAAGCUUUUAGAUUGUAUAAUCCCACAAAUGGUAAAGUGAUUAUUAGAAGAGAUGUUGUAUUUGAUGAGAACGCCUGCUGGAAAUGGGAAAGCAACAAUCAAAGCUCACAAGUUGCAGUGGGAAAUGAAGCCGUUCCUGGUGAAGCAGUAAGUCAACCUCUUGCUGAUACACCAAGCCACUCUUCAGGAAAUUCCAGCAACAUCAGUCCAAGUGGUAGCAGCCCAACAUUGAUGGUGCCUGACUCAGAAGAUUCUGAUGAAACUCCUCCACAGAAGUUUAGGUCGCUGUCAGAUAUUUAUGAAACAUGUACCUUUGCUUUAUUUGGUGCAGAUCCAGCUAGUUUUAAGGAAGCUUCAACAAAAAUGGAAUGGAGGUGUGCAAUGGAAGAAGAGCUUAUGGCAAUAAGAAAGAAUGGGACAUGGGACUUGGUGGACCUUCCAGAUGGAAAAAAUGUUAUCGGAUUAAAAUGGGUGUUCAAGACAAAAUACCAUGUUGACGGGACCGUGCAGAAACACAAAGCCAGAUUGGUCGCAAAAGGAUAUUCGCAGCAACAAGGUAUUGACUUUGACGAGACUUUCUCUCCAGUUGCUCGCUUUGAAACAAUAAGAAUCGUUUUAGCUUUGGCUGUACAAUUAAAAUGGAAGGUUUAUCAAUUUGAUGUUAAGUCUGCAUUCCUUAAUGGCGAUUUGGAAGAAGAAGUGUAUGUGACACAACCAGAUGGCUAUGUGGAGAAAGGAAAGGAGAACAAAGUAUACAAGUUGAAGAAAGCACUCUAUGGGCUAAAACAAGCUCCUCGCGCUUGGUAUAGCAAAAUCGACUCACAUUUCAGAGAAAAUGGAUUUGAAAGAAGUAAGAAUGAACCAACUUUAUAUGUGAAAAAAUAUGGAAAAAAUGAUCUUUUGAUGGUGUGUUUGUAUGUUGAUGAUAUGAUCUAUAUGGGCUCAUCUCACUCUCUUGUAUGUGAUUUCAAAUCUUCUAUGAUGAAAAAAUUUGAAAUGACUGAUUUGGGAGUGUUGCACUAUUUUCUUGGACUUGAAGUGAAGCAGGAAGAAGAUGGAAUUUUCAUUUCACAAAGGAAGUAUGCCAUUGAUCUUCUCAAAAGAUUUAAUUUGCUUAAUUGCAAAACAGUGGCUACUCCUAUGAAUGUAAAUGAGAAGCUGCAACUUGAUGAUGAUAUUGAAAAAGCUGAUGGAAGUUAUUUUAGAAGCUUAGUUGGAGGCUUAAUUUAUUUGACGCACACUCGUCCUGAUAUAUCAUUUUCUGUUGGAAUGAUUUCAAGGUUUAUGCAUAGGCCUUCAAAGCAUCAUCUUGGAGCAGCUAAAAGAGUCUUGCGCUAUGUUGCUGGAACUACAGGAUUUGGACUAUGGUACUUUCGAAGUUCCAAUUUUAAUCUCUAUGGUUAUUCAGAUAGUGAUUAUGGGAGAUGUUUGGAUGAUAGAAAGAGUGUUUCCGGGAACCUUUUCACUCUUGGUUCUGCAGCUAUUACUUGGAGCUCAAAGAAACAACCAACAGCAGCGUUGUCUACUUCCGAGGCUGAAUAUGUCGCAGCAGCAUCUUCAACAUGCCAAGCAUUGUGGCUCAGGAAAAUACUUGCUGAUCUUCACCAAGAACAAAAGGGGGCAACAAAAAUUUUCUGUGAUAAUCUAUCAGCAAUUGCAAUGGCUAAAAAUCCUGUUUGUCACGGAAGAUCGAAGCACAUAGAUAUUCGGCACCAUUUCAUCCGUGAACUUGUUGCAGAAGGGCUGAUUGAGUUGAAGAGUUGUAGCACCGAAGAACAAGUGGCAGAUAUUCUUACUAAAGCACUUCCUCCAGCAAAGCACAAUUACUUUAUGUUACGCCUCGGCAUAUGUGAUUUUGAAUCAAGGGGGAGUGUUGAGAAUUGAUUCAAAGCCUGUUUUGUUAAGUUACUGCAUAGGAUACGUUUUACUGUUAGUUGAAUAAGUCUUUCACUAGAGUUGAAAGAGUCUUUGUUAGGUUGCUAUAUUUUUGGAUUCAGUUGCUACUUUUUCUGAUAUGGUUCCUAGUUUUUAGUCAAGUAGAGUCUUGGAUCUUUUAGAGUUUGUAAGCCUAUAAAAGGCAGAGAUUUCCAGUUAAUAAAAACGCUCUUCUAAAAGAUAUUUCCUUCAUCUUCUUUGCGCAACUCUUACUUUUCUAGUUGAACAACCUCUCUUUUCCUACAUGUAUAUCUGCAAACUCAAUGGGUAUCUCUUUCAAGUUUUGGCAACUUCUAAUCAUGAGGCGCUCAAGGCCAGGAAAAUUGUCGUUUGUGGCUUUCUAGUACUUGAGAUAAUUACCUUCAAUUAGCAAAAACUUCAAUUUAUUAAAUCCCCUAACAAUUGGAUGCCAUUCUUUGCCACCACAAGCGUCAUCCAUCAGCUUGAGCACCUCAAGGUUAGGCAAUUCAGCAAUGAUAUCCAAGUACGACCAACUUAGCGAAGUUCUUUCCAACUUCAGCUUCUUGAACGUUGCAGGAAAAGCUCUUGCACUUUCUGGAAAAAGCUUAGAGCACCACAUAAAACUCAAAGUUUCAAGUUGCUGCAGAUGGACAAGAUUAUUGAGAAUCCCAGAGUCCCGAAUACUAUUAAUUUCAGUCUCAUAUCCACUGAUUCCUAAUUCUUUGACAUUCUGAAUCCCCAUAAUAACCUCCUUCUUGCAACAAAGUGGAGACAAGUAAGAAAUAGUUUGUAAGUUUGACAAAUCCAAGUGCCUUCCCUUGUCAACAGAUCGACUUGGGCAAUUUGGAAAAUAUAAUCUGGGCAGUUGAAGAUGCCUUCCUUUGUCAGCAGAUUUUGUUGGGCAAUCUGGCAAAAAAUAUACUCUGGGUCGUUUAGGAUGCCUUCCUUUGUCGGCAGAUCCACUUGGGCAAUCUGGCAAAUAAAAUGCUGGCAGUUUGAGAUGCCUUAAUUGCAUUAGUCCCCAAAUUUCCUCAGGAACAGUUAUUUUAACUAAUGGACUAAGCCCUUGAACAAUGAAUGUCUGCAGAUUCCAUAACCUGCAAAUUUCUCGAGGUCUGUCUAAACACACAUGGCAGAGCAAUGAUAGGUACCUCAACCAGAUGAGGCUUCCUAUCUGUACAGGGAAAUUACCAAUCCCCAAGUGUCUCAACUCCAAGACUUUGAGUAAUUUGAAAUGAAUAAGCUCUGAUUUCAGAAAUGGAGGAAAAAAUGAACCCUUAAGAUGAAAAGAGAAAAUAGAAUGGGUUCGUUUCAAAAGAUCGUUGUUGUCAUGAUCUCUCAACUGACGAUGUACAGGGGUAAGAAGUGCCCUAUAAAGACCAUUGGGACAGUAAAAAAAUUCAUCACCAGUCACCCAUUUAAAGGGCCGCAUUUUUUGCAUACUGAGAGGUCCCCAUACUGAAUCUGAUUGGUCAAGCACAAUGUCGUUCAUGAUAAAAAUGUUCUCCCUUUGAAUUUCUCUUACGCACAGGUCAUAUAUUAGAUCAUGAACCUUACAUGAUCUAAUUUUUGUUCCAUCUAUACUUUUCUUGCAGACGAGAACAAGACAUCUAUCGACAAGCUCUUGCAAACACUUCUCAGCCUCUCCUUCCAAAUCAUUUUCCAACUUUAGGAACCCCUCAGCAAACUAUGAUCUCUUCAAAUUCUUCACUGGUAUCUCACUGUCUUCUGGAAAUAUUCCGAAAUGCAGAAGACAUGCUUUUAGAUCGCUAGUCAAGUGAUUGUAACUCAACCCAAGCACACGUGAACAUCGUUCAUCAGGAUCAUU
RNAcentral lists this long non-coding RNA (86269 nucleotides) under Capsicum annuum. RNAcentral describes it as "long non-coding RNA (CANN_LNC013458)". Lineage: Eukaryota; Viridiplantae; Streptophyta; Magnoliopsida; Solanales; Solanaceae. The record is from RNAcentral.